Molecule: long non-coding RNA, 60931 nt
Filed under: Vitis vinifera (wine grape)
Lineage: Eukaryota; Viridiplantae; Streptophyta; Magnoliopsida; Vitales; Vitaceae
Description: long non-coding RNA (VVIN_LNC005408)
Source: RNAcentral
UUUCUCUCUUCUAUUUUCUAUUUUCUUGCAAGCCAAACACCCUCUGAGGAUGUUUUCCCAGAGGAUGAGAGGCUAAACAUUUAGUUUCUUGGAGUAAAGGAAGCUAGGUGAAAAGUCCAGAUUAAAAGGUGGAAAGUUUCCGUGCAUUAAAUUCAGGUAGUUGGAGUCCAUAAAUGGUUUUUAAAGCCAAGGUUUUGCCUUAAAUUCCUUUGAAUCACUUUGACUGGCCAAUACAUGGUAAGCUUAAGGUCUCUGUGGAUGCUUAUUGCUAGAUCCAUAUCAGUCCAUUAGUUAUCAUGUACGAGCCAUUGGAAAGUGAUUCAAGGUGAUAGCCCAUAGUGUCUUAAGCCAUUAAUGGACCUUGACUACCAUCUCUAGUGACUUUUUAUGGAUUAAAAUUUCAUUGUCAAACCUAUACCGGUUCGGGAAAUAACUAUAGGUUAAAUCCCCAAUGCGAGGAGAAAAAUCCGGAAUUUUCCACUUUGCAUCUGGCACUUGAACCUAGCAACCUUCAGCUCCGGGAGACUUUCUUUCUUACACUUUUUACUUAGUUCUAUGUGAGUUUAGUUUAAAUCACCACUUUCAAAACAAUUUUAUUUUCUUUUAAACUUUAAGUUUUUGAUAAAGGAAAUCAUUAAAUUCAAUUCAUAAUCAUGAGUAUAUCAUUGGUAGAGUGAAAACCCAUCCCUGAGUUCGACCCUAGAACUGCUAUACUAUAGUAGCUUUGCUUCGCCAGUAUAAGGUCAUAGGAUUUAUAAAUGUUUUUGAUCAAAAGACCCGGCUGGGAAAUCAAACGAAUCAGGUACAUCAAGGAAUUGUCCUUGGCCAUAUCAUCUCCGAGAAAGGCAUUGAAGUUGAUAAAGCAAAGGUGGAACUUAUUGUCAAAUUGCCAUCCCCAAUAACUGUAAAAGGAGUAAGGCAAUUCCUUGGCCAUGCAGGGUUCUACAAGAGAUUUAUAAAAGACUUCUCUAAGCUUUCAAAGCCUCUUUGUGAACUUUUAGUUAAGGAUGCUAAGUUUAUAUGGGAUGAAAGAUGUCAAAAGAGUUUUGAUCAAUUGAAGGAAUUCUUGACAACCGCUCCAAUAGUGAGGGCCCCCAACUGGCAACUACCCUUUGAAGUAAUGUGUGAUGCCAGUGACUUUGCUAUAGGAGCUAUACUUGGCCAAAGAGAAGAUGGGAAGCCCUAUGUGAUCUACUAUGCAAGCAUAACAUUGAACGAAGCUCAAAGGAACUACACAAAUAUAGAGAAAGAAUUGUUAGCUGUGGUGUUUGCCUUAGACAAGUUUCGUGCUUAUUUGGUAGGGUCUUUCAUCAUUGUUUUCACUGACCAUUCAGCCUUGAAGUAUUUAUUGACAAAGCAAGAUGCAAAAGCAAGGUUGAUUAAAUGGAUUCUUCUAUUACAAGAGUUCGAUCUCCAAAUCAGAGACAAGAAAGGAGUGGAGAAUGUGGUAGCUGACCACCUUUCAAGGUUGGCUAUAGCACACAAUUCCCAUGUCUUACCUAUUAAUGAUGACUUUCCUGAGGAAUCACUCAUGUUGCUAGAGAAAACUCCUUGGUAUGCUCAUAUUGCUAACUAUUUGGUUACUGGUGAAGUUCCAAGUGAGUGGAAAGCACAAGACAGGAAACACUUCUUUGCAAAGAUUCAUGCUUAUUAUUGGGAAGAGCCUUUUCUUUUCAAGUAUUGUGCAGAUCAGAUAAUAAGGAAGUGUGUCCUUGAAGAAGAGCAACAAGGAAUCCUCAGCCAUUGCCAUGAGAAUGCAUGUGGAGGCCACUUUGCCUCCCAGAAAACAACCAUGAAGGUGUUGCUAUCAGGGUUUACUUGGCUAUCACUUUUCAAAGAUGCCCACAUCAUGUGUAGGAGUUCUGAUAGAUGCCAAAGGCUCGGGAAGCUAACAAAAAGAAAUCAAAUGCCCAUGAACCCCAUCUUAAUAGUUGAUCUCUUUGAUGUUUGGGGUAUUGACUUCAUGAGACCUUUCCCAAUGUCUUUUGGUAACUCUUAUAUCUUGGUAGGGGUGGACUAUGUUUCUAAAUGGGUUGAGGCAAUCCCCUAUAAACACAAUGAUCACAGGGUGGUUCUCAAAUUUCUUAAGGAGAACAUCUUCUCAAGAUUUGGGGAGCCCAAGGCCAUAAUCAGUGAUGGAGGUCCUCAUUUUUGCAACAAACCUUUUGAAACCCUAUUAGCCAAGUAUGGAGUGAAGCAUAAAGUAGCUACACCUUAUCACCCUCAAACUUCCGGGCAAGUGGAGCUAGCAAACAGGGAAAUCAAGAACAUAUUGAUGAAGGUGGUGAUCACAAGCAGAAAAGAUUGGUCUAUUAAGCUUCAUGAUUCAUUAUGGCCAUAUAGAACAACUUACAAGACUAUUCUUGGUAUGUAUCCCUAUCACCUAGUCUAUGGCAAAGCAUGCCAUCUCCCUGUGGAAGUUGAAUAUAAGGCUUGGUGGGCAAUCAAGAGGUUAAACAUGGACUUGAUCAGAGCCGGGGCAAAGAGGUGCUUAGACCUUAAUGAGAUGGAGGAAUUAAAAAAUGAUGCUUACAUCAAUUCCAAAGUUGCAAAACAGAGGAUGAAGAGGUGACAUGAUCAACUAAUCUCCAACAAAGAAUUCCGGAAAGGACAAAGUGUCUUACUCUAUGACUCAAGGCUCCAUAUCUUUCUUGAGAAGCUCAAGUCAAGGUGGAUAGGUCAUUUCAUUAUUCACCAAGUGCAUCUCAAUGGAGUGGUGGAAUUACUGAAUUCUAAUGGCACAGACAUCUUUAAAGUCAAUGGUCAUCGUCUCAAGCCAUUCAUUGAGCCAUUCAAGCAAGAAAAAGAGGAAAUCAACCUCCUUGAGCCACAAAAAGCCUAAUAAGAGAAGGAUUAGAUGGAUUUGGUUUCACCAAAGUCCAUAUUUUUGUUUAAUUAUGUUAAUUUAUAAGCUUUGUAAAUUGUUUUGAUUUUAAUUUUCGUCUUAAAUUGUGUUAAAUAUAUGUAACUUAAUCUUUUUGAAUGAUCAAAAUCAGGAGGAAUUGCAAGGAAAUUGAAAGAAGGAAGCUAGGAAUCAAGAGGGGCUAAAAAACAAGAGGAAAGCAUGGUCUGCGAAAUUUCGCAGCCUAAAAAGGGCCCCUACGAAAAUCGCCUCCCGCUGCGAAAUGGUUUCGCAGCCUCCUAGCGCACUCUGCGAAAAUUUUCGCAACUGUGAAGUGACCCUUUGGCACAUGAGUGCCAUUUCGCAGCCUCGUACAGCCAUUUCGCAGCUGUGAAAUGGUUGCGAAACCUCCAUGCCUUGAAAUCCUUCAUUUCGCAGUCGAGACUCCAUUUCGCAGGGUGUUUCGUAGUUGCGAAACCACCCCUUGGCACACAAGUGCCAUUUCGCAGCGUUGUACCCCCGUUUCACAACUGCGAAAUGGGUUGCGAAAAUGUUACCGAAAUGCCCCCCUCUGCGAAAACGGCCACUUGCUGCGAAAUCUGUCCCCCUCCCACUGCGAAAAUCCCUAGUUGCUGCGAAAAUGAAUAGUGACCCUUGGCGUCCCUUUUAAACGGUAUAAAUUCCAUUUUUCCUAUUCUAAACCGGUCAUUUGAACUUCAAAACGGUACCAAGAGGAGCCAAGCCAGAGCACCCUCCCGUCUGCCUCCUCCGCUUGAGCAAACCGCACGCACCUCCGACAGUUUUCUCUGACACCGCCAUGGCUAGAACUCGAGGAGCUAAGUCCUCGUCUCCAUCGACUCGCCUGAGAAUCCUAAGAGACACGCUUGUCUAAGGUUCCACCUCCGAGCCUCCGCGGCCAUGAGUCAUCCCACUUCUGGUCGAGGAUGCACCCAUCAGUCCUCCGCCCAGGCAUUAUAACACAAGGAGGUCACUUACCAUCGCCGGUGCGAGCUCUUCUAGAGGCUAAAAAUCAGGUACCGGUCCCCCAAAAAAGAAAGCCAAGGUCUCUGAGCUAAUUGAUCUAACAGAGUCGUCUUCAGAGCCUGAAUCAGAGCCUACGCCAUCUCCACCGCUUGCCAAAAAGUCUCCACCACCUGCCAAGAAGCCUCAGCCAUCUCAACCAUCUCAGCCACCAGCCAAAGAAUCUCAAAUUCCCUCAGGCAUGACCCCUAAGGUAGUUAUCAGAUGACCCAUGGUCACUCAGCCACCAAUUGAAGGGAAUUUGGAUUGCAGAGUAAGCCCAUUCCACUCCGAGCUCUGUUUCGACAUAGCCAUUUUCAGACUUCAGCCUGAGCUCAGGGAGUCCUUUCGUCUGCUACAGAGGUAUCAUAUGAAGCACUUGCUAACUCCUAGGGAUUUUUUCUAUCCCCGUGUGGCAUUGGACUUCUAUCAGUCCAUGACCACAAACCAGGUCCGAGAUCCUACAGUCAUCCACUUCACCAUAGACGGAUGCCAUGGUAUUUUGGGAGUUCGACAUAUAGCAGAGGCACUCCAUAUCCCCUAUGAGCCAGCACGUCCAGAGGAUUUUCGAGCUUGGACUCAUCCUUCACAGAGCGACAUCGUUCAUGCUCUGUCAAGAGGGGCAUCCUCACGCCACUAUAUCUUGAGGAAGGAGCUUCCUCCCAACAUGUUCUUUAUUGAUGCACUCCUCUGCCAUAACAUUUUUCCACUUCAGCAUUGGGUGCAGAGGAGAGGAGUGUUGCUGGAGGCAUUGUUUAGGAUCUUUAAGGGAUACUUCUUUGGCCCUCACCAUCUCAUCAUGGCCGCUCUUCUGUACUUUGAAGAGAAGGUGCAUCGGAAGAAGCUACUCAGACUAGAUGCCAUUCCACUUCUCUUCCCCAGACUAUUAUGCCAGAUAUUGGAGCACCUGAGAUACCUAGCAGAGCCUCAACAUGAGUGUAGAUGCAUUUGUCGAGUCGACAAAUGGACCAGUAUGACAACUUAUGGUGGUGCAGACCAGGGAGCACCAGCUGGACUAGAGCAUCCAGAGGAGCCAGUUGACAUACCUGUUGACACUUAGCCACCUGCCCCUAUAGUGGCCCCUACAGAGCAUAUACCAGAGGUUCUACCCUCUGCUCCUCAGGCCACACCACAGCCUCCUCCUGUUAUUCCACCCACAUUAGAGCCAUCUCCUUCAGCUGAGCCAAGGAUAGCUAUACCCAUUACCGAGUAUAGAGACCUAUGCCACACUUUCCAGGCAUUGGCCACUUCUCAGAGCAUCCUACUCAGUAGAUGACAACUCUUCGUUCUCAUCAGGAGCAGAUUAUUACCACUCAGGCCCAGCACACUGCCAUCCUGAGGCAGAUUCAGCAUCAUCUGGGUCUUAUAUCAGCUCCUGAGCAUGCCACUCCUAGCCCACCAGAGCCAGCACAAGCCCCUCCUUUCGUAUACCAGAUUAUGUCUCCUGAGGAGCCUACUACAGGAGAGACAGAGGCAGCUGAGCCAUCAUCUCCACAGCAUCCUCCACCCACCAUCUGAUCAUUUUGAUAGUUUCCUUUAUAUAUUUCGAUUAUGUAUUUCCUUUAUGUAUUUCCUUAUCAUAGUAGCACUUGAAAUCCCAUGCUUUUGAUAUUAUAUAUUGGGAUUGCUUGUAUUACUUGUCCAUUUUGUACUUACAUGAAUUGAAGUAAUACAAAUCUAUCACUUUUUGAUCACUCUUAGCAUUAUUUUAUUCUUAUUUCCUCUAUUCAUAUCUUUUAUUGUUUUUGAAACAUGUGGUUUCUCCAAUCAAUACUCGAAAUUGAUAUCACUCAGGAGGUACCACUUCCUCCCUAUAAUCUCAAUCGCUCAUGCCACAUUGAGGACAAUGUUCAGCUUGAUUGGGGGGAGAGUUGAGGAAGGAAGUUUUUUGUUAUUUAUGCUAAGUUAUUUUGAUAAUUUAGUCAAUUUUUGCUUAAUUUUAAAAUUUUUUAAAGUUUUUAUUCUAAUCUCCAUGGUUACUAAGGAAAAAUUCUCAUAAUGAAAUGGAAGAAAUUGAAUUUUUGUCUUUUUACUUGACUUAGAGUUUGUAUUAUGCUUACUAAAGUUGAUGAAUUGUUGAAACUUCUAUUGAAUUCAACCUUAGUUCUUCCACUUUAAGCUAUUCACACACUGUGCACAAUAGAUUCCAAUUAUAAGAUGAGAAAUUAUUUCUCGCUUGACUUAGGAAAAUUUAGACUUGGUACCUUUGACAUUAUUUUAAUAGUGUUGGGACACCUUAUAAAAGGCCAAUGAGCCUUUGAAAAAGAAAAAAAAAAAGCAAGAAAAAAAUGUUUGCUUGCCUUGAAACCCGAGCAAGGUCUGAGGGGUAUAUGGUGAAAAUCUUUAAAGCCUGGUGCCCUAAGCCUUAAUUGGUUGGGAGUCACCGACCUCAAUGCUCGUUAUAAGGGUGAAUAGGUGGAGUUUAACAUAUUGUAGGUGCUUGGGUAUUAAAAUUCAUUCUCAAAAGUUCGGGGUAAAAUCCGAGGAGUUAGUGGUUGAAAGAUCCUUAAAGCUUGAUGCCCUAAACCUUAAUUGGUUAGGAGUCAUCGAUGGACCCCCAUUACAUGGACAAUUUAGAAAAGAAUACCCUUAAGGCUUGUACUCCUACAAUGAAAAAAAUUGUGAAACAAAAGGGUGCGUUCUUAGCCUAUUGAAUUUGGUCAGCUUGCUAAGUGUUGAAAAAGAACUAGGUUGGGGGGAGAGAUUAGUUCAGCAUACUAUAUUCGAAAACUAUCAACUAACACUUAGAUUUUUGUGGAAGAGUAAGGUUUGGUCCUUUGGAAGUGGAAAAGAUUUUAAAGCUUCAAUUUGCAUAAUGCCUUCUCUUUAUGAAUUGUGAUUAGACAAGUUAUUUGAUAACUCUUGUUGACAUUUGAGUUUAUAUUUCUUUAAUGUUCCAUGUGAGAGUUAGAUCAUCAUGCCACUUGAAAUUUUUUUUUUGAUCAGCAUGAUGUUGUAAAUUAUAGUACUUUUUAUUUUUCUUUUUCUCUCCUUCAUUGCUAAGGGACUAGCAAUAUGUCGGUUGGGGGGAGUGAUUACUACUCAAAAAGUGCUAUUUGAUAGCUGGUAAUUAACUCUUUUAAACACUUUUGAGUAGUAGUUAUUACCUUUUAACCCAAUUAACAUAUUAAGGACCUUUGCAAUCAUUUCUAAUCAAAUUGUGUAAGUUUUGGUGUUUUUGUUAGUAAUUUGAUCACCAAAGCAAUAUGAGAUUGAGGAGAGUUCUUUGGAAUCCAUGGCAAAGCAAUGGAAAGCUCAGAAACAUGAAGAACCAAAGAUUUGAAGCUUUAUAGUCCUUUGCCAUAAGCAAAUCCGGAAUGCAAGGAGGGGAAGCAAAGAGAAAUCUAACAUGAAGCAUUCUAGAGAACAGUCACUGUCAGCCACUUUUGGAGCAUUUUCUGGAGCUCAAUUUAUGCAUACUAUAUGUCAUUUCGAAGCUCGGGAAGUUACCAAUCCAAUGCUUCAAACAAUGCACGAUUCAGAGUUGAAAUGAAGGAGUUACAGCCAUUGGAAGCCGAUCACUCCAAGCUGAAGGCCAAUUUCGCAGGGCUGCGAAAUGGUGUCCUUCAUGCUGCGAAAUUUCGCAGCCCUCUUGCAUGGCUGCGAAAUUCUCUUGAAGCUUCCCGAUAUUUGCGACCGACAUUUUGAGAUUUUUUUGCUUUAGAUAUUUGAUGUCUAAAUCCCCCAACUCUCCUUGUAAUCCACCUAUCAUAGGAUUCCUUAGUCUUUAAGCAAGAACAAAGGGUAAAUAACCCCAUAUAUAUUGUUUGUAAAUUUCCAAAGAAGGAGGGAGAGGUCGAGAGCUUGUUCUCAGACAACUUUGUAUAGUUUUGCAAGAAAGUAAAAUACAGAGCCUUUGCUCUGCCUUACCUUCUCGUUUUGAUUGUAUAUAUUUAUUUAAUUUUUCUUACUAGCUAAACAAGCUCUGAGGAAGUUUCCUCAGAGAAUGAGUGGCUAGACUUUUAGUUCCUUGGAGCUAAGGUUGCCGAGAAAGGUUCCAAGUGCAAGAAUUAGUAGCUUUGUGGUUUCAACCAUUAAUGAAGAGAUAGUGUGAUCCUUUAAUGAUUUCUAUGUUUUUAGUUAACUUAAAACACCUUCAAUUCACCUGAGUCAAUACUUGGUAAGGCAAGUGAUCUUCGUCCAUGGAGAUGCACUAGUUUAUCUCUUGCAAGCUUUUGGGAGGUGACUUGAAGGUAGGAUUUUCUAGAAUUGCCAACACUUGGUAAGCUUUUGGACCCUAAGGAGACAUCCAUUAGUUAUCUCUUGCGAGCUUGAGAAGGGAAGUCCAAGGUUAAUGAUCACUUUGAAUGGCAAAUGAUAGGCGAGAGGCACGAGCCAUUGCAAGUUGCAUCAGUGAGAGGAAAUUAGUGUUGAAAUCCAUUAAAGGGAAGCAUCUGUACAACACCGGUUAGAGAAUUAACUAUAUGUUAAUUCUCUAAUGCGAGGAAAAGAACCAAGUGACCGGAGCUCUGUUUUUGCAUGAGGAGCCUCCCCUGUGAACCUAAAACUCCAAGGAAUGCUUUCCUUCAUAAGUAAUUUCCAUUAAUUUCUUUUUAGUUAGCUUAAAACAAAUCCUUUUUCAACCAAAGUUUAUGUUUUCUUCUUAAGCUAACCUUGAAAUGAAAAAGCACCAAUUUAACUUUGAAUUGGUAUCAGUUGUAAGUUGAAAACCCUUCCCAGUGAACAAUCCUAGAGCCACUAUGCUAUAUUACCUAAAGCUAUCCUAAUGCAUGGUGAUAUAGGUUAUAAAUUUUGUUGAUUACUCCCUUCUAAGGACCACAAUCAAGGAACACCAGCUGGACAUGAAUAAGCUAAGACACCAAUUGGGAACCACGAAUCAAUCAACAACCUUGAGUGUUCAUAGCAUCUAGAGCCUUGAGCUCAUGACCAAGAGUCUUUCAUGUCAUUAACAGCCUUGAGCUGUUCAAAACAUCUAGAGCUUUAAGCCCAUGACCUAGAGUUGUUCACGUCAACCACAACUUAAAGUUGUUUAUAGCAUUUAAAGCCUUAAGGUCAUGACCCAAAUUAACUCAUGUCAUCGACAACCCUGAGUUGUUCAUAACAUUUAAAGCCUUGAGCUCAAGACUAAGAGUCGUUUAUGUCAACCACAGCCUAAAGUUGUUCAUAUCAUCUAGUGCAUUGAGCUCACGAACUAGAAUAGCUCAUGUCAUCCACAUUCUUGAGUUGUUAAUAGCAUCUAGAGCCCUAAGCUCACAACCCAAAUUCGUUGGUCACAACCCAACGUUGUUCAAAGCAUUUAGAGCCUUGAGCUCAUGACCUGUAGCCAUUCAUUUCAACCAUAGUGUAGAGUUGUUCAUAAAUCUAGAGCCUUGACCUUAUGACUUAGAAUAGUUCAUGUCAUCUAUAACCCUAACUUGUUCAUAACAUCUAGAGCCAUGAGCUCACGACAUGGAGUCAUUCAUGUCAACCACACCCCAACGUUGCUCAUCGCAUUUAGAGCCUUGACCUCACAAUCAAGAGUCGUUCAUGUCAACCAUAACCCUGAGUUGUUCAUAGUAUCUAUAGUGCUGAGCUCAUGACCCAUAGUCUUUCAAUUCAUUGACAGCUCUAAGUUGUUCAUAGCAUCAAGAGCCCUAAGCUCACGACCUAAAGUCAUUCAUCUCAACCAUAGCCUAAAUAUGUUCAUAUCAUCUAGAGCCCUGAUCUCACGACCUAAAGUACCUCAUGUUUUCCAUAACCUUGAGCUAUUAAUAGCAUCUAAAGCCUGGAGGUUACAACACAGAGUGAUUCAUGUCAACCAUAACCUAGAGUUGUUCAUUACAUUUAGAGCCUUGAUCUCAAGACCUAGAGUAGCUAAUGUCAUCCAUAGCCUUGAUUUGUUCAUAGCAUCUAGAGCCAUGAGCUCACACCUUGGAGUCUUUCAUGCCAACCAUAUCCUGGAGCUAUUCAUUGCAUCUAGGGCCUUAAGCUCAUGACCCAGAGUCGUUUAUGUCAUCCAUAACUCUGAGUUGUUCAUAGAAUUUUGAGCUUUGAGCUCACGACCUAGAGUCGUUCAUGUCAACCAUAACGUAAAGUUGUUCAUAACAUCUAAAGCCUUGAGCUCACAAGCUAGAGUUGUUCAUGUCAAUCACUACCCAAUGUUGUUCAUAGCAUUUAGAGCCUUGAACUCAUAACCUAGAGUAGCCCAUGUUAUCCACAACUCUCGAUUAUUUAUUGCAAUUAGUGCCCUGAACUCACGAGUAAGAGUCAUUCUUGUCAACUAGAACUCGGAGUUGUUCAUAGUAUAAAGAGCCUUUAGCUCAUGACCCAUUGUCUUUCAUGUCAUCGACAACCCUGAGUUGUUCAUAACAUCAAGAGCCCUAAGCCCACGACCUAGAUUUGUUCAUGUCAACCACAUCCUAGAGUUGUUCAUAGCAUCCAAAGCCUUGAGCUCAGGACCUAGAGUAGCUCAUGUCAUCCACAAUGCUAAGUUGUUAAUAGUAUCUAGAGCCCUGAGCUCACAAACUAGAGUCAUUCAUGUCAACCACAUGUUAGAGUUGUUCAUAGCAUUUAGAGCCUUGAGCUCAAGACCCAGAGUGGCUGAUGUCAUCCACAACCCUAAGCUGUUCAUAGCAUCUAGAGCUGUGAGCUCACAACCUGAAGUCUUUUGUGUCAAUUCCAACCUAGAGUUGUUCAUUUCAUCUAGGGCCCUAAGCUCAUGACACAAAUUCGUUCAUGUUAUCCAUAACUCUGAGUAGUUCAUAGAAUUUAGAGUCCUGAGCUCUCAACCUGGAGCAUUUCUUGUCAUCGACAACCCUGAGUGCUUCAUAGCAUCUAGAGCCCUGAGCUCAUGACCCAAAGUAGUUCAUGUCAACCAUAACCCUAAGUUGUGCAUAACAUUUAAAGCCCUAAACUCAUGAUCAAGAGUGGCUCAUGUCAUCAACGACCCUGAGUUGUUCAUAACAUCUAAAGGCCUAAGCUAGUGACUUAGAGUCAUUCAUGUUAACCAUAACCUAAAGCUCUUAAUAGCAUCUAGUGCCUUGAGCUCAAGACCUAGAGUGGCUCAAGUCAUCCACAACCCUAAGUUGUUCAUAGCAUUUAGAGCUCUAAGCUCAUGACCUAGAGUCUUUCAUGUCUUGCAUAGACAAGAGUUGUCCAUUGCAUCUAGGGCCCUAAGCUCAUGAUCGAGAACCAUUCAUAUCAUCCACAGCCUCGAGCUUUUCAUAGAAUCUAAAGUCUUGUGCUCACGACUCGGAGUCUUUCAUGUCAUCGACAACCUUGAUCUAUUCAUAGAAUCCUGAGCCCUGAGUUCACGACCUGGAGUCUUUCAUGUUAUUAACAACCGUGAGUUGUUCAUAACAUCUAAAGCUCUGAGCUCAUGACCCAGAGUUGUUCAUGUCAACCAUAGCCUAAUGUUGUCCAUAUCAUCUAAAGCUGGCUCACGACCCAAAGUGGAUAAUGUCAUCAACAACCCUAAGUUGUUCAUGACAUCUAAAGCCCAAAGCUUACGACCUAGAGUCAUUCAUGCCAACCACAACUCAGAGCUAUUCAUAACAUCUAGAGCUCUAAGCUUAAGACCCAGAGUGGUGCAUGUCAUCCAUAACCUUGAGCUAUUCAUGGAAUUUAGAGCCAUGAGCUCACGACCCGGAGUCUUUUAUAUCAACCAAAACCCAGAGUUGUUCAUUGCAUCUAGGGCCUUAAGUUGACGACCCAAAGUUGUUCAUGUCAUCCAUAGCCCUGAGAUGUUCAUAGCAUCCAAAGCCUUAAGCUCACUACCCGAAGUCGUUCAUGUCAAUGAUUUCCUAGAUGAUUCGUUCCCAAUUGGUGUAUCAGCUGAUUCAUGUCCUCUCAAUGGUCCCUGACAAUGGUGCCAUUUGAUUCGUGUCUAGCUGGUGUUCCUUGAUUGCAGUCCUCAGAUGGGAGUAAUCAACAAAAUUUAUAACCUAUUACACCAUGUACUAGGAUAGCCUCAUCUAGCAUAGCACAGUGGCUCUAGGGUAGUUCACUAGGAUGGGUUUUCACUUCACAAUUGAUAUUAAUUCAAAGCUGAAUUAGUGCUUUUUCACUUCAAGGUUAGCUUUAAAAGAAGACAUAAAGAUGUUUGAGUGAAAAAGGUUUUAAGCUAACAAAAAUAGUAACUAAUUUUAAUUACAAAGAAAAGUGUUUCUUGGAGUUUCAGAUCACUAGGCUCAGGUUCCUAAUACAAAAAGAGAGUUCCGGUCACUUGUUUCUUUUCCUCGCAUUAGAGAAUUAACCUAUAGUUAAUUCUCUAACCGGUGUGGUACAGAUGCUUCCCCUUAAUGGGUUCAAACACUAAAUCCCUUUCAUUGAUGCAUCUUGCAAUGGCUCAUGCCUCUCACCUAGCAUUUGCCAUUCAAGGUGAUCCUUAACCUUGGAUUUUCCUUCACAAGAUCGCAAGAGAUAACUAAUGGAUGUCUCCUUGGAGUCCAAAAGCUUACCAAGUGUUGGCAAUUCUAGAAAAUCCUACUUUUAAACCACCUCCCAAAGGCUCGCAAGAGGUAAACUAGUGCAUCUCAAUGGACGGAGAUCACUUGCCUUACCAAGUGUUGGCCCAGGUGAUUUAAAGGCGUUUUAAGUUAACUAAAAACAUAGAAACCAUAAACGGGUCACACUUUCUCUUCAUUAAUAACUGAAACAACAAAACUACCAAUUUUUGCAUUUGGAAACUUACUCGGCUUUCUUCACUCCAAGAAACAAAAAGCCUAGCCACUCAUCCUCUGAGGAAACAUCCUCAGAGUUUGUUUUGCUAGAAAUAAAAAUAAUGAGAAAACAAAAAUAUGAAGGAAAAAUAGAGCAAGUGCUCUGUAAAUAUAUUUCUUACUAUGAUCCUCCUCUCGUCGGAUUACAUAUAUUACAAGAUUUAUGAUGUAUUGGUUCAAAGAUAUAUAUAUAGAGAAGAUAUUUUCUAAGAAAUAUCCCAAUAAUAUCUUUGACUGAUUACAAGGAGAAAAGAGAAAUUUACAAAAUAUCUUGAGAAAAAAUCUAACUGAGUCGGUUGCAAAUAUCUGAGAUUGCACAGGUGGAUUUCACAAGGUGAUUCACAUGUUGAAUUAUCCAUUUUGCAUGUUUGAACUUUGGUUUUGCAACUUGGAGGUGAUUUCACAACUUGGAGAUGAUUCGCAACUUCAUUCGUAGCUUGGAGGUGAUUUCACAACAUGGUUCGCAGCUGCGAAGAUGGAGGCAUGGGCUGCGAAAUGGCACUCGUGUGCCAAAGGUGGGUUUUGCAGCUCAUUUCGCAGCUGCGAAAUGGGCUUUCACUUUGCGCGGUUGUCUUCAAAUGGCCAUAACUUCUUUGUUUCAACUCGAAUUAUCAUACCGUUUAAAGCGUUGGACUCCUGACUUCUCGAGCUUUGAAAAGAGAUAUAGUAUACAUGAAAUGGACUCCAGGAAGUACUUGAAAUGUGUCCAACAGUUGCUGUCCUCUUGAAUUCUUCAUGUUAGAUUUCUCUCUUUUUCCUCCUUGCAUUCUUGAUUGGCUUUAGCAAAGAACUACGAAGCUCCAAAGCUUGAAUUAUUCAUUUAAAUGAGCUUCUAUUUGCUUUUCCAUGGAUUAUAUAAAGCUCUCCCUCAUAUUAGAUUGCUUUGGUGAUAAAAAAGCUAUCAAAAAACACCAAAACUUAACACAAUUUGAUUAGAAUUGAUUGCAAGGGUCCUUAACAUGCCAAUUGAGUUAAAAGGUAAUAACUACCACUCAAAAGUGUUUAAAAGAGUUAAUUACAAGCUAUAAAAUAACACUUUUUGAGUAGUAAUCACUAGAGCAAUUCAUCGCAUCUAGAGGCCUAGCCCAUGUCAUCCAUAGUCCUGAGCGGUUCAUAACAUCUAUAGCCUUAAGUUGACAACCCAAAGUCGUUCUCGUAAACUACAACCCAGAGAUGUUCAUAACAUUUAAAGCCUUAAGCUUAGGACUAAGAGAAGCUCAUGUCAUCCAUAAACCUUAUUUGUUCAUAGCAUUUAGAGAUAUGAGCUCAUGACUUAGAGUACCUCUUGUCAUCCACAACCUCGAGUUACUCAUAGGAUCAAGAGCCUUGAGCUCACAACCCAUAGUCUUUCAUGUCAUCGAUCCUAAGCCUGUUCAUAGCAUAAAGAGCAUUGAGCACACGACCUGUAAUCAUUCAUGUCAACCACAACCUAGAGCUGUUAUAGAUCAUAAGAUCAUGACCUAGAGUAGCUUAUGUUAUCCACAACCUUGAUUUGUUAAUAGUAUCUAGAGCCCUAAGUUGUUCAUACACAGAGUGGCUCAUGUCAUCCACAAAACUGAGUUGUUCAUAGAAUCAAGAGCUCUAAGCUCAUGACUUAUAGCCUUUCAUAUCAUCGAUAGGCCUAUCAAGAGCCCUAAGCACAUGACCUGGAGUCAUUAAUGUCAACCACAACCCAAAGUUGUUCAUAACAUCUAGAGCUCUCAAGUCAUGACAUAGUGUAGCUCAUGUGAUCAACAACCUGAGUUGUUAAUAGUAUCUAGAGGCUUGAGUUGAUGACCUAGAGUUGAUCAUGUUAACCAAAGCCUAGAGCUGCUAAUAACCUCUAGAGCUUUGAGCUCAAGACAUAGAGUGGUUCAUGUUGUCCACAACAUUGAGCUGUUCAUAACAUCUAAAGCCUGGAACUCAUGACCUAUAGUAUUUCAUGUCAACCACUGCCUAGAGCUGUUCAUUGCAUCUAGGUACCUUAGCUCAUGACUUAGAGUAGUUCACAUUAUCCAUAGCUCUGAGUUCCUCAUAGAAUCUAGAGUCCUAAUCUCACAACCUAAAGUCUUUCAUGUCAUUGACAGUUCUAAGUUGUUCAUAGCAUCUAAAUCCAUGAGCUCAUGACCCGGAGUCCUUCAUGUCAACCACAACCAAGAAUUAUUCAUAGCUUCUAAAGCUAUGAGCUCAAGACCAAGAGUGGCUCAAGUCAUCCAUAGCCUUGAGCUAUUCAUAGCAUCUAGAGCUUUAAGCUCAUAACCUAGAGUCUUUCAUGUCAACCAUAAUCCAACAUUAUUCAUUACAUUUGAGGCCCUGAGCUCACGACCUAGUGUCAUUCAUAUCAUCCACAAUACUAAUCUAUUCAUAGAAUCUAGACCCUUGAUCUCACGACCCGGAGUCUUUCAUGUCAUCGACAGACUUGAGUUGUUCAUAGAAUCUAGAGCCUUGAGCUCACAACCUGGAGUCUUUCAUGCUAUCGAUAGCUUUGAGUUUUUCAUAGCAUCUAGAGCCUAAUCUCAUGACCUAGAUGUAGACCCUCAAUUUUUUCCUUCGACACUUGCAUUUAUCUUAAGAGUUUCACAUGCACCCAAUCUCUUCGUAUGGCACUGUCAUGACCCCCCUUUUGGGCUUGAUCGAUUUUUGAACCUUGUGUAGGUUCAUCUACGGUCCAAUGUAGUGGGAGUGUGUAGUUCAUUUUGGAGUGCUAUCAUGGCCAACUCCUUAGUUGUUCACAUCAUUCUAAAGGAAGGAAGUGAGGUCUCUCCCAAAACUUUAGUUCAGUUGGAGUUCGUAGGAGCAGGUUUGAAUACGGAGCACCUGAUCUUGUUUUGAUCAUAUCUCUCUCAUCCGAACUCGGAAUCAUGCACCAUUUUUUUUGUUGGAUUCCUUAUUCUUCAAGGAAUAUUAUAUCAAAAUUUGAGAAUUUUUCUCAAUCGAUCGAUCAACCGGUCGACCAGAUUAAGUGCUAUCAUGGCCAACUCCUUAGUUGUUCACAUCAUGCUAAAGGAAGGAAGUCAGGUCUCUCCCAAAACUUUAGUUCAGUUGAAGUUCUGAUUACUACCAAAAAGUGCUAUUUUGUAGACCUAAUUAUAAUGGUUUUAAGCACCUUUGAGUAGUAAUCAUAUUCAUUUAAACCAAUUAAUUCAUUAAGGUCCUUAGUAAUUGGUUUUAACCAUUUUGUGGCAAGUUUACAUGUUUUUAUCAGCUUAUGAAUCGAUUCAAGCAUGCCAAAUGAUGGAGGAGCUACUUGGACAAGUUAAAGCAAGGAUUUUGGACAUUUACAAGCUUGAAUUUCAAGUGGAAACACGAGCACAAGCAAAGAGAAGCAAAGAGGAAAAGCAAGCAAAGUGAAGAGAAGCAAAGAGGACAGCAGCUUCAGUCUUCUUUCGCACUUUUGGAGCACUUCCCAAAGUCCAUUUUUUGCAUACUAUAUACCAUUUCAAAGCUCUGGAAGUCAAGAAUCCAAUGCUUCAAACCGUGCACGAUUUGGAGCUGAAAUGAGGAAGAUAUGGCCUUCGGAAGCAAACUGCUCCAGGUUAUGCGAAAAUUUCGCAUUCCACAAGGUGUUAUGCGAAAUUCGCAUAACAUUCGCAUAACCCAUGCGUGUUGCGAAUUUUGCUCUGUUUUUGCCGACUCCACUUUAGAUAUUUUCCUUUGUAUUUUGUGAUGUAAUUUCCUUUCUUAUCCUUGUAACUAACCAAUCACAAGCUUUUGCUUUUGUAAAGACUUUAUAAGGGGUGGAAAUCACCUCUUGGAUGAUAUAGAAUAUAGAAUAUUUCACAGAGCUCUCUCGUUUCUCCUGUUCUUCCCCAUUUCUAUUUUCUUAGUAGCCAAACAGCCUCUGAGGGCUUUUCCUUAGAGGAUGAUUGGCUAAAACUUUUAGUUUCUCAAAGUAUGGAUGUUAUGUGAUGGCUUGGAUGCAAUCCCAUGGAAAUUUCUCGCACCCGGAAGGUAAGGUAGACGUUUUUCAUUAAAGGUUCAUUAAUGCAAAGUUUGGUUUUUAUUUCCUUUGGACAACUUCCAACGGCCAAUACUUGAUAAGCUUUUGGAUUUCUAUCCAUUAGUUAUCUCCUACGAGCUAUUGGAAGGUGAGGUUUUCAAUUCCAAGUUAAUCCGUUAGAACCAAUUUCAAUGGCCAUUGAAAGGUGAGUUUAUCACUUAGAAUGACUUUGAGUUGCCAAUAUUUGGUAAGCUUUUGGAUUUAGACCGUUAGUUAUCUCUUACGAGCCAUUCAAAGGAAGUCUAAGGCGAAUAACCAUUGAUGAAAUUCACUACCAUCUGUUUUGCCAUUUUAAAGGAUUAAAACUUGAUUUGCUAAAUCCAUACCGGUUCGGGAAGCAAGCAUCACCAUAGUUGCAACCCCAACUCGAGGAGCCUAUCCUGAGAUUUCCAAUUUGCAUAAGAGCCAGAGCAUAGCUAUCCUAUAUUUGAGAAACUUGUUUUUACACCUUUUCAUUUUAGUCUUUAAUGUUAGCUUAAAUUAGUUUAAAUCUUUCUAAAAUAUUUACAUAUUCUUUUAAAGCUAACAUCCACAAGAAAAUCACCUAUUUUCCUAAUUUGAAUAUCACUUGUGUUUGCGAAAACCUUUCCCAGUGAACGAUCCUAGAACCACUAUGCUAUAGUAGCUUGGCUACUUUAGUAAUAGUAUUCAAGGUAUAAAUUUUGUUGAUACGCCUUUAAAGCUAAGCUACCAUGAGUCGCAUCAAAUGGCGCCGUUGCCGGGGAUCGAAUCAUGAGUAGAAUCAAAUGGCGCCGUUGCCGGGGAAGGUGCCACAAGCACAGUGAAGCAACCAUUAAGGGUAACUUGUGAUCUUCAUCACAAGUUUGGUGAGUUUUCUUAUAAUUUUUUUUAGUUUAAUUUUUAUUUAGUUAAAUUUUUUAUUCUCUUUUCUUUUAUUUUUGUUUUAAUUUCAAUUUGUGCAUUCCUUGUUGGAUUCGAGACCAAGAGGGAACCCUGGUACAAGUUGAAGAAAAGAGCCUUACUUGAAUAUCAUUUUUUUUUAGAAAUGGAAAUUCCACAUGAAGAUCAAAGCUCUCAUUAUGAUCAUGAGAAGGACAAAUUUACAUACUUAUCCAUGAGGGAUCGGAUUGAAUUAGGGAAAAGGCAAGUUCAACAAAGCUAAUGGGGUAGUAAGUAUGCUUUGAAUGAAGACAUGAGCAUGAAGGCAAUGCUAGCAUCUAUGGCUAUAAGGAUAGAAGAGUUUGAAUUGAGGAAUGUGCAUACUGAAGCACAACCACAAGCCAUGCCAACUUCAUUUGAGUAUAUAAACCAUCCCAACCUUACAACCCAACCUCAACCUCAUCCAUCAAUGAGUACAUCUUCAUUGGAGCAAGCCAUUUUGAAGAUAAGCAAAGUCAUGAAGGACUUUGUAGGUGAGCAACAAAAGAUCAACUCUCAUCUUAAUGGAAAGAUUGAUAAUUUGGAGAGUUCAAUGAAUGUAAGAAUGGAGGGGGUUUAUAAUGAUCUAUCACUAAGGAUAGAAAAGUUCAAGACUCCAUUGAGAAGCUCACCAAUCUCGACAUAGCAAGGGGGCAAAGGAAGCUUCCUCCUCAACCCCACCAUAACCUUCAAGGAACCAAUGCAAAAAGAUCAAGGAAAGUGUUGAUGAUCGACACUUUGGUGGGGGAUUGCUAUGACAACUCUAUGGACCAACCUUCCAUUGAAAAUCAUAAGGUUCAAGAUGAUAAAGGGUUACUUGAACCCUUUAAAGCAUCCACUUCUCCAGGGAAGGGAAGAGAAACGAAUUCCCUUGGACAAAAUGGGAAGGAUGCUAAUUUUGUUUGGGAUCCAGGGGGAAUUCAGCAUGAAGUGGGUGUGUGAGUGAGGAUGAGCUAAAUAGUUCAUCUUCUUUUUGGGAUACAUGCUAUCAGCUUCAUUUAAAUUCUAUGCUUUCUUUAAAUUUAUGCAUGUUUUAAUUUGAAUUUUUAGCUUUAAUUUAGUUUUAAUAUGUUUUUAAGAUGAGUUUUGAAGUGUUCAUGCAGGUAGGAAAGCUUGAAGAAUGAAAUUAUGGUGAAAACAAGGGAAAAUGGUGAAAACAAGGCAAAACAAGGGAGAAAAAAACCAAGUCUCAGCCAUUUUUGCACAACACUUCCUGUUAUGCGAAAUUUUCGCAUAACACACCCCUUAUGCGAAAAUGCUUUUGUGGCAAUUUAAAAAAAAAACAUGCUCUCGGUCCCUUCCCAAAAUCCCUUAUGCGAAUUUCACAGGAAUACGAACCUUAUGCGAACCUUGUGCGAAUUCGUUUUUGGGACAAAUUUUCAAAACCAUGCUCUCUGUCUGGGUACUCACAGGAAUGCGAAAUUUUCGCAUAACACAAGGUGUAAUGCGAAAUUUGCAUUUCCUCUUUAAAGGUCGUGUUCUCAUCUUUAAAUGCUAAGGUUCUUCUUCAUUUCUCUCAACAUCUCUCUUUCAAUCAACCAAUCCCAACCUUGCAUUUACCAAACCAAAGCCUCAAGCUAAGGAUUCAAGCCACGUUUUCUUCAAAGGAAACCCAUUUCCGCCGGGUAGAGGAGCUCCAAAUUUCAAAUUCUCUUCGUGAAAAAGCUCCAAUUUCCAAGCCUAACCACCAUGAAAAAUCCUUUUCCUACCUUAGCCAGCAUUUCCCACCCUCAAAAGCCAAAAAAUUUCACCAUUUGAAUGAGCUUCAAAACUUCAAGUGGGCGUGUGAAUAGUGCAUGUGCGAAAUUUUCGCAUAACAUCCCCCCUUAUGCGAAAUUUUCGCAUAACACCCCCCCUUGUGCGAAAUUUUCGCAUAACCCUUCCCUUGUGAAAAAUUUUCAAUUUCUUCAUCCCUACCCUCCCCAAAUCCCAAGCCUUUGAGCCUUGUCCUCAGUUGCUCAAAGUGGGGCCCACUCAUCAUUUUUGUAAAUAUUUAGUAUAAAUUCCUCUCUCAUUCAAUUUUUGAAUUUUGAAACAGGUGGUUCAACCUUCUCAACUCCAAGUCCACAUCACAUGAGGUACCACUUCCUUCCUCCUUAUUUUCGAUUCAAACAUUGAGGACAAUGUUCAUCUCGGUUGGGGGGAGAGAUGAGGAAGUAAGUAUUAGUUUAAAUUUUUAUCAUACUUAGUUAAAUUAGCUACUUUUUGUUUAAAUUUUAAAAUUUUUGCUUUAAACUCCAUGGAUAUUAAGGAUUAACUCUCAAAAUUAAAUGAGAGAAGUCGAGUUUCAACUUGAUUACAUGAGUCUUAGAGUUUGUAUUAUGCUCUUCUAAAAGUUGAUGAAUUGUUGAAACUCCCAUUGCAUGCAAACUUAUCUCUUCCACCUUAAGCUAUUCGCACACACCGUGCACACUAGGUUCCGUUUAUAAGAUGAAAAACUAUUUCCCUCUUGACUUAGGAAAAUUUUAGACUUGGCACCUUUAACCUCUCUUUAAUAGUGUUGGGACACCUCAUAAAGACCAAUGAGUCUUUGAAAAAAUAGAAAAAAAGAAAAAGAAAAAGAAAAAGAAAAAAAAAAUAUAGAAUAAACUUCUUUGCUUGCCUUGAAACCUGAGCAUGGUCCGAAGGGGUGGCGAAAGCCUUUAAAGCCUGGUGCCUUAAGCCUUUAUUGGUUGGAGUCACCGAUCCUCUGCUUGUUACAUGAGUGAAUUGGUUAAGUUUAGUAAGUGAAAAAGAAUUGUGAAUAAGAGGUGCGUUCCUAGCCUAUCAAGAGAUGGUUAAUUUUGCUAAAUCUUAAAGAAAGACUUAGGUUAGGGGGAGAUGAUAGUUAUCCAUACUAUACUCGGAAGCUAAUCACAUUAACACUUAGCUUUUAGUGGAAGAAUUUGAUUUGGAUCUUUUGAGAGUGGAAAUUCUUUUGAUGCUUAAACUUACAUAAUAUCCAUUCUUUGUACUCUAUGAUCAAGUGAAUGCUUUGACAACUCUUAUUAUAGGUUGAGUUUCACAUCUUUAUUGAUCCAUGGAUAUCCAUCAUGCCACUCAUAUCAUUUUUUGGAGUGAUUUGCAUGAUCCCUUUUAUGUAUAUUAUUAUAGUUUACUUAGUUUUUAUCUCCUCCAUUGCUAAGGGACUAGCAAUGAGUCGGUUGGGGGGUGUGAUUACUACCAAAAAGUGCUAUUUUGUAGACCUAAUUAUAAUGGUUUUAAGCACCUUUGAGUAGUAAUCAUAUUCAUUUAAACCAAUUAAUUCAUUAAGGUCCUUAGUAAUUGGUUUUAACCAUUUUGUGGCAAGUUUACAUGUUUUUAUCAGCUUAUGAAUCGAUUCAAGCAUGCCAAAUGAUGGAGGAGCUACUUGGACAAGUUAAAGCAAGGAUUUUGGACAUUUACAAGCUUGAAUUUCAAGUGGAAACACGAGCACAAGCAAAGAGAAGCAAAGAGGAAAAGCAAGCAAAGUGAAGAGAAGCAAAGAGGACAGCAGCUUCAGUCUUCUUUCGCACUUUUGGAGCACUUCCCAAAGUCCAUUUUUUGCAUACUAUAUACCAUUUCAAAGCUCUGGAAGUCAAGAAUCCAAUGCUUCAAACCGUGCACGAUUUGGAGCUGAAAUGAGGAAGAUAUGGCCUUCGGAAGCAAACUGCUCCAGGUUAUGCGAAAAUUUCGCAUUCCACAAGGUGUUAUGCGAAAUUCGCAUAACAUUCGCAUAACCCAUGCGUGUUGCGAAUUUUGCUCUGUUUUUGCCGACUCCACUUUAGAUAUUUUCCUUUGUAUUUUGUGAUGUAAUUUCCUUUCUUAUCCUUGUAACUAACCAAUCACAAGCUUUUGCUUUUGUAAAGACUUUAUAAGGGGUGGAAAUCACCUCUUGGAUGAUAUAGAAUAUAGAAUAUUUCACAGAGCUCUCUCGUUUCUCCUGUUCUUCCCCAUUUCUAUUUUCUUAGUAGCCAAACAGCCUCUGAGGGCUUUUCCUUAGAGGAUGAUUGGCUAAAACUUUUAGUUUCUCAAAGUAUGGAUGUUAUGUGAUGGCUUGGAUGCAAUCCCAUGGAAAUUUCUCGCACCCGGAAGGUAAGGUAGACGUUUUUCAUUAAAGGUUCAUUAAUGCAAAGUUUGGUUUUUAUUUCCUUUGGACAACUUCCAACGGCCAAUACUUGAUAAGCUUUUGGAUUUCUAUCCAUUAGUUAUCUCCUACGAGCUAUUGGAAGGUGAGGUUUUCAAUUCCAAGUUAAUCCGUUAGAACCAAUUUCAAUGGCCAUUGAAAGGUGAGUUUAUCACUUAGAAUGACUUUGAGUUGCCAAUAUUUGGUAAGCUUUUGGAUUUAGACCGUUAGUUAUCUCUUACGAGCCAUUCAAAGGAAGUCUAAGGCGAAUAACCAUUGAUGAAAUUCACUACCAUCUGUUUUGCCAUUUUAAAGGAUUAAAACUUGAUUUGCUAAAUCCAUACCGGUUCGGGAAGCAAGCAUCACCAUAGUUGCAACCCCAACUCGAGGAGCCUAUCCUGAGAUUUCCAAUUUGCAUAAGAGCCAGAGCAUAGCUAUCCUAUAUUUGAGAAACUUGUUUUUACACCCUUUCAUUUUAGUCUUUAAUGUUAGCUUAAAUUAGUUUAAAUCUUUCUAAAAUAUUUACAUCUUCUUUUAAAGCUAACAUCCACAAGAAAAUCACCUAUUUUCCUAAUUUGAAUAUCACUUGUGUUUGCGAAAACCCUUCCCAGUGAACGAUCCUAGAACCACUAUGCUAUAGUAGCUUGGCUACUUUAGUAAUAGUAUUCAAGGUAUAAAUUUUGUUGAUACGCCUUUAAAGCUAAGCUACCAUGAGUCGCAUCAAGUUCAUAGGAGCAGGUUCAAAUACGAAGCACCUGGGCUUGUUUUGAUCAUAUCUUCCUCAUCCGAACUUGGAAUCGCGCACCAUUUUUUUUUGUUGGAUUCCUUAUUCUUCAAGGAAUAUUUUAUCAAAAUUUGAGAAUUUUUGUCAACUAGUCGAUCAACCGUUCAACCAGAUUAAGUGCUAUCAUGGUCAACUCCAUAGUUAUUCACAUUAUGCUAAAGGAAGGAAGUGAGGUCUCUCCUAAAACUUCAGUUCAGUUGGAGUUCAUAGGAGUAGGUUCGAAUACGGAGCACCUGGGUUUGUUUUGAUCAUAUCUCCCUCAUCUGAACUCGGAAUUACGCACCAUUUAUUUUUUGGAUUCCUUAUUCUUCAAGGAAUAUUAUAUCAAAAUUUGAUAAUUUUUCUCAAUCGGUUCGACAAAAUUUUUUUGAGGCAGUCAACUGAUUCGUCGGGGCUGCUGGUAACGACACUGUUUUUGGCUCUUUUGAUGCUCUGUUUCUGGCUGGUUUGAGCCUGGGUGCUCCAGAUAGGUUUGGGGAAUAGUUUUAGGUUCGAUUUGGGCCAUUUUGUGGAGAGAUUGUAACCCAUGUUGAACCCAUGUGGAUUCUUGGUGAGUAAGGCAUGUUAAAGUUAUGAGAGGUAGCUGCCUACCUUGGGAAAAGGAGAACUAAAUGUGUUGGGGGGGUUCCAAAGCUGAAUGGAUGAUUUCCAGAGCAAAAAUGGGAGAAAAAUGGUGUGGUGCAGAUGCUGAAAAGGGAAGUCUGAGAGGUUUUUGAAAAUGAAGAAAAAGGAAGAGAUAGAAAAGGAAAAUCCUAAGAAGAGAUAGCUGUAGAAGGGGAACUAAAAAAAAAACGUGGGGGCAAAAUUCCUAAGAGUCUUUAAGGGUUUAGGUGACCUGGAGAAAAAUAGGAAGAAGGAAAAAAGAGAGGUCUGAGAGAAAAAUUGGGGAAGGUUUUUAAAGAAAAACAGAGAUAAUGAGAAAGGAAAGAAGAAAAAAGAUCUUGAGAAAAAAAAAGAGAGGAAUUUUUGUCUGCUUUGGAAAGGAGGAAAAGAAAUCGUGAUCACCAGUCUAGAGCGGAUUUUACAGAAGAAGAAUCAAUCUCACUUGAAGCUAAGGAGCACCUCUCGAAGGCUGGUUCUUCAGGUACAUUUCUGGUUCCUCAUAAAAUUCUUGCUUGCAUUUGGUUCCUCUUUUUGGUUGUUUCAGAAUGCUUAAUGAUUUAUUGAUUGGUGUGUACGAAAAGGGCCACAAAUUGUUAUGUUGAAAUUGGUUCUUUGUGUUUUUUCCAUGAUCUUCAUUCAAUUGAUGCCAUUGAUCCCAUUUGAUUUUGUUCAUGUUAAAAAUCUAUUUUGAAUCAUUCUCCCAUUUUAUAAACACAACGCAUGGUUCUCCCUCAUCUAGGCUCGUAAUUGAGUUCCAUUUCUUUUUUUGGAUUCAUUAUUGAGGAAUUUGCUGUUAAAAUUUUAGAAUUUUCUCAACCGUUUAAACCGGUUGGGAACCGAUUCAACUGGUCCUCCAUGACCAACCCUAUUUUAUAAACACAUUGCAUUGUUUCAGCCGGUUCUCCCUCAUCCAGGCUUGGAAUUAAGUGUCAUUUCUUUUAUUAGAUUCCUUAUUCUUUGAGGAAUCUGCUAUAAAAAUUUCAGAAUUUUUCUCAACUUGUGGGCCUCCUUUAGAGUUUUAAAUGGGCUCUAAACUAAAUUAGAAUAGACCCACUUCAGAGCUAAAGGCAUUAGGGGUCAGGUAAGUUUGGUUUGAUUUGAUGUUGGAGAUUGGUGAAUUGUUGUUUGAGGGAAUGUGUAAGGAAUAAAAUAAUUAGUUGCCAUCAUUUCCAUUCACUUCCUCUUUAAGCAUGAACUUUGAUGCUUGAUUGUGAAUACCUAAUACAUGCUUGCAUUUGUUGAUUCACUUUAUCUGCAGUGCAUGGCUGGGGACCACAGGUAUGCACUUUGACUUUGGAUAAUGGAAUUCACAUGAAUGCUUGGUGCAUGAUUGCUAUGUAUAUUUGUUGUGCAUUUAAGCUUAUUGACUGACCUCUUAUGCAGCGCUUGGCUGGGGACCUCAGGUAUGCACUCUGAUUUUUACUUGUUGAGUGUAUGUGCAUGCUAAAUACUAAGCGGGUCUAUGUGAUUCAUGUCAUUUGUUUAGCCUAAGGUUUGUUUGAUCUUUGACCCAUAUGCUCCUCCCAUAUAUCCAGUUCAUUAGUAGAGAUUGAGUUCCAGGCCUAAAGGGGUGCUACCUCGCAUGAGGUACCUUCUUGAUAGGUAACCUGAUCCCCGGACCUAGAAUCUAGUUUUUGCAUAUCGUUUUUUCCUAACUGGAAUCAUGUUGGGGUUUUUGUUCUUACUUAAGUUUUCCCCAUUUAAAAAUAAAAAUAAAAAGUAAGUGGCGACUCCAAACAAUACCGUGUCUUACCUCGAAAAUCAGCUUUCCCUUUUAUUUUUUAAAAUAUCGAGUCGCGCCUAUCUGUAAAUUGGGUGAGGGUCCACAAAUUGGCGACUCUGCUAGGGAUCGAACCCAGAAUCUCUGGUUUCAUAAGAGGAUCAAACUUGAACUUGAGUUGGGUAUAUUGGAGCACAUGGUUCAUUGACCAAUUUACUCUUAGGCUUUAUAAGUGACUGGUGAUCACCUACUUGGUUGGUAUUUGACUUGCACUUGUGAUGAGUUGUUGCCUGUGUGUUCACUUGAUUGGCAGUGGCAUGCUUAUUCGUUGUUGUUGGUUCUUGGUUUUGAGGUUCAUGAUAAGCUUAGAUGAUUAGCUUGUGUGUAGAUUGUAUGGUAGGGUAUUUCUUUGCACAUGACUGCUUGCUGCAUGACUGUCCUUUCUCUUACAUGACUGCUUGUCAUUUGUGUUUGUGGGGCGCGAUUGUAUCCCCUUAUUUCCGAAUCACUAUCUUGGUCGACUAUUCCUUAUUGGUUUCUUGAAUUGUUUGGGAGUCAUUCCCAACUAUUUACCUUCGACCAAGUUAGGGGUUCGGAAUAGGGUCUAGCAUAAGGACUAUAUCGAUGUUUGGGAGCAUUAUGGAGAUGGCAGAUAUCCUAGCAAUGAAGACCUGUAUAGCUCUGAGUUGGAUUUCAUGGAUACCUGCGUGGCUAGAGUGUCACUUUGAUUGUUGGUUAGAAUCAUAGGUUGCCUAUCCCCUUUGUGGGUACUGUCAUCUAGCUUUUAGGACAUGCCUUUUCUCGUUAUUGGAUUUUGAGCCACCUUACCCCUGAGGUAUCACCAUGUCAGAAUCCCGCUCCUGCCCGUGGAGCCAUGUAUUAGAUUAACUGUUAACAUCACAUGACAGUUCAUUCCCUUGGAGGAUUUAGUCGUGGGAUUACAUUACAUUAUUGAUUUCAGGACUGUUAGUCACGGGGAUUGAAUUACCCUUUUUCUUUCGUAGAUUGUUGAUUGAGAUCGACCUGGGUUCUCGAGCUUGGAUCAGGUUUGGAGGUAGACUUGUUAGAGGAUCAGACCAAUAUAGCCAGUUAAGAUAGACAUUAGUUCAGAGAGAUAUGGACCUGUAGUAUGCUACUGUUGACCAGUUGGCAGAAAUUACAGAUACCAUGGCGUCACUUAGAGAUGCUAUUUUACGACUGGGUCAAAGGAUUGACGGGUACCAGGCCCCACCAGUAUCGAUUUAGGGGACCACCCCACAUAAUUCUUCCACACCCCCACCACCACCACCAUUUGGACCUACCAUAUAGUCGGACUACACAAUCCCACCUCCAUCACCACCCCCAGUUUAGUCAACCCCACAGGCAAGGGCCUUUGUCUUACAUGGUCAAACUGAGACUAUGCCACAUUCUGUUGUGCCCCCAGCACAGGUUGCAGAUGAUACUCAGGCCUGCAUUGAGAAGAUUGAGCAGAGGAUGAGGUUACUGCAUGUCACCGAUGGAGUCAUGACUUGGGAUGGAUAUGAUGACCUGCCGGUUGCAGCUUUUUCGGUUGAGUUCCGCAUGCCGAACAUUAAGAGAUACACGAGGAUUGGGUGCCUUCGUAUUCACUUGCAGUUGUACAAUUUUGUUAUGCGCGACCAUAGGUUAGACGAGACAUAGAUGAUCAUGUUGUUCCCUCUGUCCCUGAAUGGUGCCACCCAGCGAUGGUUUGUUUCAUUGGACAACUCACGACGCUGGACAUGGACGAUCUGGCAUAGGAGUUUCUCAGACAGUAUUCCUUUAAUACUGUAGUUGAUAUAUCUCAAAGAGAGUUAGAGGCCCUCAGACAGAGGCCGGAUGAGACGGUUACCUCCUUCAUCUCCCGUUGAAGGGAGAAGAUAGCACAGUUUAUUGACAGACCCUCAGAGCGUGAUUAGAUCAGUAUGAUUAUACGCAGUCUUCAGUCCCGCUACGCUAAACAUCUCAUGGGCUUUCCACAGACAGACUUUGGCUCCUUAGUGCAGGCCCUCUAUGGCAUCGAGGAGGGUAUAUCUAGAGGAUUAUGGGUAGAUUCUUCCCCCUCAGACUCAAAGGGGAAGAAGUCGGGGUCAGGACCUAGGCCAUCAGGUGUUGGCACCAUUGGUAUGAUGGGGCAUAGGUCCCCGCGUCAACCUUAGACUCAGAGGCAGUUUUUAGAUACCUCUUAUAAGAUGAUACAAUAUGAUCAGUAUAGGCCAGUUAUUCCUAUUAGGCCAGUAGGGCCUGCUUAUUUGCAUCUGUCGCCAUAACCAGUAUAUGCUACACAGGCAUUCCAGAGGCCACCCAUGCAGUUCCAUCAAUAUAGAGCACCGCCUCCGCUGAGGCCAGCUAGAUAGUUCACAUAGCUUGGGAUGCCAUUGAGCAAAGCAUUUCAGAGAUUGGUUGAGGGGGGAUUGAUUGUCCAGUUACCACACCACCACUACAGCCUACCCCACCAAGAUUCAGGACAGGCCUUCACUGUGCUUACCACGAGAAAGCGGGCCAUGAUACAGACAAUUGCUCAGCAUUGAGACAAGUUAUACAGGACUUGAUUGAUCAGGGUUUGGUUGAUUUGAGAUGACUCGUAGUGACCAAAAACCCGUUACCUACUCAUGACACUAGAGUUGUACCUCCACCCCUAGAGGGAAUCCAUUUGAUUGAGCACACAAAGGGUGAUGUAUUUAUGAUGGGAUGGGAUGGAGAGGCUUUUCAGUCAAUCAAUUUCUAUGAGGACUCAAAUUUCAUUAGAUAUACUUCAAACUAGCAGAUCCCUAGGCCAUUCAAGUUGGCCCCAAACAGGAUUCCUAGACGACCAUCAGCACCACCAGGAUAUUUGCAGCACGCACCACCUUUGACACUUUUCAUUCUGUUCCCAGAGGGGUAUGGGCCUGCUCAUAGAGAUGUUCAGAUAGUCACACGGAGCGGGAGAGUUGCACAUCCUCCACCUGUCGAUAGGUCAUUUGCUGGUACAGCUUCUAGAGAUGAGAUUCAGAGAAACGAUGAUGAGAUUUUACGGCAGUUGCGCAUUACGCAGGCUUGCAUAUCCAUUUAGAGCUUAUUGGCCUCAUCUAGCACACAUAGAGAUGCAUUGGUCAGAGCCCUUGGCCAAAUUAGAGUUGAUACUACUACCACCCCAGAGGGGCUGAUUCAAUUUCUAACAAUUGAUUGGGCUACGUGCAUCGUAUUUUCCUACGAUGACUUGCCACCGGAGGAGUCAGGUCACAUUUGCCCUUUGUAUAUUAGUGUUGCAUGUUCAGGCCAUCAGGUGCCGACAGUCUUGCUGGACAACGGCUCUGCCCUGAAUGUUUGUCCUUUGGCUUCAGCCAUUGCUCUUGGCUUUUCUCCAUUUGAUUUUGGGCUAUCUACAUAGACCAUCAAAGCUUAUGAUGGGACUCAGAGGACAGUUAUGGGUACAAUUACUGCACACGUUAUGAUUAGGCUAGUCAGAUACUCAAUGCUUUUCCAAGUUCUAAGGAUUCAGUCAUCCUUUAACCUGUUUCUUGGUCGUCCUUGGAUUCAUGAGGCUGGCGCCAUACCAUCUUCCCUUCAUCAGAAGCUAAAGUUCAUACACGAGGGUCGCAUUAUCACGAUACAGUCUGAUUGGGAUGUUGUCACUUCUUCCGAGCCAGUAUUACAGAUUAGUCACAGUGAGGAUGACUUGCAUUUGACCGAGUUUACUUUCGAUGAGGUUUAGGUUAUAAGUUUAGAGGAUGACAACAUGGAUAUGGUGCCUAUGUCAUUCGACUAGUACAGUAGCACCUUGGUGCUUAACAUGAUGAGGGGCAUGUCUUAUCUGCCCAGCUUGGGAUUAGGUCACCAUCAGCAUGGACCACGCGAGUUUACUUUCACAGUUGAUCAUGACACACCUUAUGGGUUAGGUUACACUCCUACGGAAGAGGAUGCACAUUACAUGGUGCGACUGCGCAAGGACAGAGUAAGGGCCCGCUUGUCUGGGGUCCCAUUUGGUUACCCCCUUUGCUCGUACACCUUUCAGUUGACUGAUUACUUUGUCAGAGGUUCAGAUCAUGCACCCCACAUAGAGGGGAUCGUUUGUAUUUUAGAGGCUGUUGAGGUUCAGGACCUCCAGCGGACCUUGGGAUAGAUGCAUUUGGGUACCGGGAUCCUUGAGACACCUGAUGUUAUGAUAGUUGCACCCCCGUCGCUCAACCGAGCCAGCAUGUUUUCCGUAUGCUUCCUGGAGGCAGUUUUUGAUUAUGAUAUACUUGUGGAUACUGUGAUUGAUGUUGAUGGAGUGACUCUGCCUGAUUCUUGCACCGAUGAGAUGGACAUGAUAGGGGUAGGUCGCAUUCUCGAUGCAGUCCCACACGGUCCCCACUCUGAUUUUGAUUUGUUUGGAGUUUCUAUGAUUGACACUGAUGAUGUGACUCUUUAUGAUGCUUGCACAGACGAGAUGGAUAUGAUUGGUACUGGUCGUAUUCUGGAUGCAGUCCACACGGGCCUCAUUCUGCUUUGGAUAUGUUUGGGGCUUUUAUGCUUGAAAUAGAUGAUGAUGACUUUGCUUCUGUUGUUACUACUGAUGUUAUUACUGUUGAGGCAACGUCCAAUUUUGUGGACCCACCUCUUUCUUUUAACACUAUGUCCGGGUUUGUCACCCACUUUGAUGAUGUGGCUGGUGGAAAUAAUAAUGAUAUGAGUGUUUUCGAGUAUUCACCUAUGUCACUGCAUUUUCCUUUGAUUGUAUCACCGACACCUACGACAUAUACACAUGAUGUUGAUGAUGUGAGAGACCCAAAUGACCCGUGCAUUCAAGAAGAAGAUUAAGCCCAAGAAAUUCCAGAAAGGUGACCUAGUUUUGAAGGUCCUCAGGGGAUUGAUCAGCGACCAUAGAGACAAGUUCAGACCGAGCUAGAGCGGGUCAUAUGUUAUCCAAGAUUUGACCCAAGAGGGAGCUACCUGGUUGAAAGAUCUGGACGGAAAUCAGUUUUUGGAGCCAGUCAAUGUGGAUCAGUUGAAGAAGUUUUACGUGUGAGAUCAUGGUCAAAGGAUGGGUGGCCAUCGUUUUGAGUAGCCAUAUUCCCUGUUGCACACCGACACAUUAAUAUAUCCCAUUGCUAGCCCAUUAAGCCUCACAAGAUUCAUUAUGACCUAUUUGUUCACUUAGCCUUGUGAUUUCAUGCCAAACUGGUGUAUGUCCUGUUGAUUGGUGUUCAAUCCACUGGUGUACCUUGAUUUCGGUCCUCAGACGGGAGUAAUCAACAAAAUUUAUAACCUAUAUCACCAUGUACUAGGAUAGCCUCAGCUAGCAUAGCAUAGUGACUCUAGGAUCGUUCACUGGGAAGGGUUUUCAACUUACUACUGAUAUUAAUUCAAAGUUGAAUUGGUGAUUUUUCGUUUCAAGGUUAGCUUUAAAAGAAAACAUAAACUUUGUUUUAAAAAGGAUUGGUUUUAAGCUAACCAAAAAUAGUAACUGAUUUUAAUUAUAAAGAAAAGUGUUUCUUGGAGUUUUUGGAUCACUGGGGUCAGACUCUUAAUACAAAAAUAGAGUUCCGGUCACUUGAAUCUUUUCCUUGCAUUGGAAAUUUAACAUAUAGUUAUUUCUCUAACCGGUGUGGUAUAGAUACUUCCUUUUAAUGGGUUCAAACACUAAAUCCCUCUCAUUGAUUCAUCUUGCAAUGGUUCGUGCCUCUCACCUAGCAUUUACCAUUCAAGGUGAUCCUUAACCUUGGAUUUCCAUUCAAAAGCUCGUAAGAGAUAACUAAUGGAUGUCUCCUUAGAGUCCAAAAGCUUACCAAGUGUUGGCUAUUCUAGAAAAUCCUACCUUCAAACCACCUCCCAAAGGCUCGCAAGAGAUAAACUAGUGCAUCUCAAUGGACGGAGAUCACUUGCCUUACCAAGUGUUAGCCCAGGUGAUUUAAAGGCGUUUUAAGUUAACUAAAAACAUAGAAACCAUUAACGGGUCACACUUUCUUUUCAUUAAAAGCUGAAACAACAAAACUUCCAAUUUUUGCAUUCGGCACCUUACCCAGCUUCCUUAACUCCAAGACACAAAAAGUUUAGCCACUCAUUCUCUGAGGAAACAUCCUCAGAGCUUGUUUGGCUAGUAAGAAAAAUACAAUCAAAAUGAGUAGGUAAGGCAGAGCAAAGCUCUAUGGAUUACUUCCUUCAAAACUAUACAAAAAAUUGUCUCUGAGAACAACCUCCCGAGAUGUCUGUGUAAAGAAAAUUACAAAACUAUAUAUAAGAGGUUAUUCACCCUUUGCUCUUACUUACUAACUAAGGAAUCCUAUGAUUGGUGGAUUACAAGGAGAAAAUGAGGAUUUAAACAGCAAAUAUCUGAAGAAAAAAUCUAAAAGAGUCGGUCGCAAAUAUCUGGAAGCACUCAGGUGGAUUUUGUAGCAUGCAACAUGGGUUGUGAAAUUUCGCAAGCUGAAAGUCUCUAUUUCGCAGCUAGCACUUUGUGAUUUCGCAGCUGCGAAAUUGGCCUUUAGCUUGGUGCGCUUGGCUUCCAGUGGCUAUAACUUCUUCAUUUCAGCUCCGAUUCGUGCACCAUUUGAAGUGUUGGACUCCUGACUUUCGAGCUUCGAAACGACAUAUAGUAUGCAUGAAAUGGACUCCAUAAAGUGCUCUAAAUGUGUCCAACUGAUGUUGUCCUCUUGAAUUCUUCAUGUUAGAUUUCUAUUUUUGUUUCUCCUCCUUACAUUCAUGAUUUGCUUUUGGAAAAGGACUACAAAGCUCCAAAGCCUGGAUUCUUCUUGUAAAUGAGCUUCUAAUUGCUUUUCCAUGGAUUCUAUCGAACUCUCCUCAAUCUUGGAUUGCUUUGGUGAUAAAAAAAAUAUCAAAAACACCAAAACUUAACACAAUUUGAUUAGAAAAUAUUGCAAGGGUCCUUAAUAUGCCAAUUGAAUUAAAAGGUAAUAACUACUACUCAAAAUUGUUUAAAAGAGUUAUUUUCAAGCUAUAAAAUAAUAGUUUUUGAGUAGUAAUCACCUUGCAUAUCUUUUCUCAUGAUUCGUUCCCAAUUGGUGUAUCAACUGAUUCACAUUCUCUCAAUGGUCCCCGAAAAUGACGCCAUUUGAUUCAUGCCCAGCUGGUGUACCUUGAUUUUGGUCCUCAGAUGGGAGUAAUCAACAAAAUUUAUAACCUAUUACACCAUGUACUAGGAUAACCUCAGCUAGCAUAGCAUAGUGGCUCUAGGAUCGUUCACUGGGAUGAGUUUUCACUUCACAAUUGAUAUUAAUUCAAAGCUGAAUUGUUGUUUUUUCAUUUCAAGGUUAGCUCUAAAAGAAAACAUAAAGAUGUUUGAAAAGGUUGGUUUUAAAGUGAAACCAAUAAAAUAAUAGAAAUUACUUACAAAGAAAAGUGUUUCUUGGAGUUUCAGAUUACUAGGCUCAGGUUCCUAAUACAAAAAGAGAGUUUCGGUCACUUGUUUCUUUUCCUCGCAUUGGGGAUUUAACAUAUAGUUAUUUCCCGAACCGGUGUGGUACAGAUGCUUCCCCUUAAUGGGUUUAAACACUAAAUCCCUCUCACUGAUGCAUCUUGCAAUGGGUCAUACCUCUCACCUAGUAUUGGCCAUUCAAGUGAUCCUUAACCUUGGAUUACCCGUCAAAAAAUCGCAAGAGAUAACUAAUGGAUGUCUCCUUAAAGUCCAAAAUCUUACCAAGUGUUGGCUAUUCUAGAAAAUCCUACCUUUAAACCACCUUCCAAAUGCUCGCAAGAGAUAAACUAGUGUAUCUCAAUGGAAGGAGACCACUUGCCUUACCAAGUGUUGGCCCAGGUGAAUUUAAGGCGUUUUAAGUUAACUAAAAAGAUAAAAAACAUUAACGGGUCACACUUUCUCUUCAUUAAAAGAUGAAACAAAAAAACUUCCAAUUUUUGCAUGUAGAAACUUACCCGGCUUUCUUCACUCCAAGAGACAAAGAGCCUAGCCACUCAUCCUCUGAGGAAACAUUCUCAAAGUUUGAUUUGCUAGAAAUAAAAAUAACAAGAAAACAAAAAUAUGAAGGAAAAACAGAGCAAGUGCUCUGUAAAAUAUAUUUCUUACUAUCGUCGAUUACAUAUCUGAUAUAUGCUAUAUGAUGUAUAUUUUUACAUUGGUUCAAAGAUAUAUAUAGAGAAGAUAUUUUCUAAGAAAUAUCCCAAUUAUAUCUUUGACUGAUUACAAGGAGAAAAUAGAAAUUUACACAAAAUAUCUUGAGAAAAAAAUCUAACUGAGUCGGUUGCAAAUAUCUGAGAUUGCACAGGUGGAUUUUGCAAGGUGAUUCACAUGUUGAAUUAUCCAUUUUGCAAGUUUGAACUUUGAUUUUGCAAGUUGAAUUUGUGAUUUCACAACUUGGAGGUGAUUCCACAACUUGGAGAUGAUUUGCAACUUGUUUCGCAGCUUGGAGGUGAUUUUGCAACGUGGUUCGCAGCUGCGAAGAUGGAGUUUCAACUUGCGAAGUGGCACACGUGUGCUUGGAGGUGGUUUCGCAGCUGUGAAACACCUUGUGAAAUUUCACAAGUGGAUUUCAUUUCGCAGCUCAUUUCGCAGCUGCGAAAUGGGCUUUGGGCUACGAAAUUUUCGCAACUCAUUUCGCAACUGCGAAAUUUUCGCAUAGCUUGAUGCGAUUGUCUUCAAAUGGCCAUAACUUCUUUGUUUCAGCUCCAAUUUGCACACCGUUUGAAGCGUUGGACUCCUAAAUUCCCAAGCUUCGAAACAAAAUAUAGUAUACAUAAAAUAAACUCCAGGAAGUACUUGAAAUGUGUCCAAUAGUUGCUAUCCUCUUGAAAUUCUUGUUAGAUUCCUCUGUUUUUCCUCCUUGCAUUCUUGAUUUGCUUUUGGCAAAGGACUAAAAAGCUCCAAAGCUUGGAUUCUUCAUGUAAAUGAGCUUACAUUUGCUUUUCCAUGGACUAUAUAAAGCUUUCCCUCAUCUUAGAUUGCUUUGGUGAUCAAAAAGCUAUCAAAAACACCAAAACUUAACACAAUUUGAUUAGAAACGAUUGUAAGGGUCCUUAACAUGCCAAUUGAGUUAAAAGGUAAUAACUACUACUCAAAAGUGUUUAAAAGAGUUAAUUACAAGCUAUAAAAUAGCACUUUUUGAGUAGUAAUCAUCUCACUUGGGUUGGGGGCCUCCUCUUGUGCGCUUUGCAUUUAUUGUUUGGAUCGGUGAGUAUUAUGAGUCCAUUGUGUCAUUGUUCAUUUGUUUCAUUUUUGGGUCAUUCAUGAUUUCUUCUUUCCUACAUUGUGCAUCUUCUCUUUGUCUGUCUUUGAGUUUUGUUUCUAUCCUUUCGAUUAUUUUCGCUUCCAUCUUCCCUUGUGUGAUGAUGAUACGCUCUCGUCCCGAAGCACCUACAGUAUGUUAAACUCCACCUAUUCACCCUUGUAAUGAGCACGGAGGUCGGUGACUCCCAACCAAUGAAGGCUUAGGGCACCAGGUUUUAAAGAUUUUCACCAUAUACCCUUCAGACCUUGCUCGGGUUUCAAGGCAAGCAAACAUUUUUCUGUCUCUUUUUUUCAAAGGCUCAUUAGCCUUUUAUAAGGUGUCCCAACACUAUUAAAUGAGGUCAAAGGUACCAAGUCUAAAUUUUCCUAAGUUGAAAGGGAAAUAGCUUUUCAUCUUAUAAUCAGACCCUAGUGUGCACAGUGUGUGAAUAGCUUAAAGUGAAAGAAAUAAGGUUGAAUUCAAUAGAAGUUUCAACAAUUCAUCAACUUUAAUAAGCAUAAUACAAACUCUAAGUCAAGUAAAAAGACAAAAAUUCAAUUUUUUCCAUUUUAUUUUGAGAAUUUUUCCUUAAUAACCAUGGAGAGUAGAAUAAAAACUUUAAAAAUUUUAAAAAUUAAGCAAAAAGCAACUAAAUUACCAAAAUAACUUAGCAUUAAUAACAAAACUUCCUUCCUCAACUCUCUUCCCCCCUCCCCCAACCAAGCUGAACAUUGCCCUCAAUGUGGCAACAUCGAUUGAAAUUACAGGGAGAAAGUGGUACCUCCUAAGUGACAUGAAGUUUGAGUAGAAUAGGAGAAACCACAUGUUUCAAAAAACAACAAAAGAUAUGAGUAGAGGAAUUAAAAUAAGAUUAUGCCAAGUAUACUAAAAAAAUUGAUAGAUAUGUAUUACUUUAAGAAAGUACACUAUGGAGCAAAAACAAGUAAUACAUCCAAUCCUAAUAUAUAAAACAUAAAAAACAUGGGAUUAUGAGUUCUACUAAAGUAAAGAAAUACAGAAAAAAAAGAAGCUAAAUGAUCAGAUAGUGGUGGGAGGAUCAUGUGGAGAUGAUGGCUCAGCUGUAGAAGUCUGAGUGCUCGGGAUGGAUGCCUCUAUCUCUCUUGUAGUCGUCUCCUCAUGGGGCAUAGUCUGCUUUGCUAGAGAAGGAUCCUGGGAUGGAUCAGUAGGCUCUGAUGGGAUAGGCAUAUCGUGCUCAAGUGGUGAUAGAAUACCCAAAUGCUAUUGUAUCUGUCUAAGAAUGGUAGUAUGCUGGGUCUGGGUGGCGAUAAGAUGAUCCUGAUGUGCACGUAUGGCCUCCAUCUUCUGGGCAAGGACGCUCUGAGUAGCGGUUAAUGUCUACAAAGUAUGACAUAGGCCUCUGAACUCUAAAAUGGAUAUGGUGAUACUAGACUCAGAUAGAUGAGGCUCGGAAGCAGCUGGUACAACUGGCGGAGUCCUGGGAGUGGCAUGAGGAGCAGAGGAUGCAACCUCAGGCAUAGGUCCUGUAGAGGGCAUUACAGGGGCAAAAACUCUGAUAUCAGUAGGUAUCUCAACCUGCUAUGGCUUCUCUAGAUGCUCUGGAUGUGGUAUCUUUGGAUGCUCUAGUCCAACUGGAGCUCCUGGCUGUGCAUCAUAGGCUGUCAUACUAGUCCAUUUGUUAAGAGUGAAUAUCUCUUGGCAAAUGCAUCUAUGCUCAAGCUGAGGCUUAGAUGGAUAUCCCAAGUGCUCUAAUAUCUUACAGAGCAACCUCAAGAAUAGAAGUGGAAUGGCAUCCUCUCUCAACAGCUUAUUCUUGUGGACUUCUCUUCAAAGUAAAGAAGAGCGGCCAUGAAGAAAUGAUGAGGGCCAAAGAAAAAUCCCUCUGAUAUCUGGAACAAGGACUCUAGUAAAGCUCCUCUCCUCUGCACCAUAUGCUGAAGUGGAUAGAUGUUGUGGCGCAGAAGUGCAUCGAGAAAGAACAUGCUGGGCGGGAGCUCCUUCCUCAAAAGAUAUGGGCAUGUGGAUGUCCCUCUUGACAGUAUAUGAACCAUAUCACUCUGAGAAGGAUGAGCCCACACUCUAUAAUCCUCUGGAUGUGCUGGCUCAUAAGGAAUGCGCAGGGCCUCUACUAUGUGUCUGGCUCCCAAGAUACCAUGUCGUCCUUCAAUGGUGAAGUGGAUGACAAUAGGAUCCCGGACGCAAUGUGUAGUCAUAGACUGAUAAAAGUCUAAUGCUACACAGGGAUAGAAGAAAUCCCUAGGAGUCAUCAGAUGCUCUAAAUGGUACCUCUGUCUGGAGUAGAUGGAAUGAAUCUCUGAGCUCUGGUUGAAGCCUGAAGGUCUCUCCAUCAAAACAAAGCUUGGAGUGGAAUGGCCUGGCCUGGCAAUCCAAAUUGCCCUCUAUGGGUUGCUGAGUGACCAUGGGCCGCCUGAGUCAUCCUAAAGGGAAUCUGAGACUUUGUAGUAGGCGGUUGAGGCUCUGACGAAGGCUCUGAUGGCUCUACUGGAACUGAUAUCCUUUCUUUCUUCUUAGGAGGGCAGCUAGCUGACUUCUUGGGAUGAGAGGAGCUUGACCCUGGUGUAGUGGGUGGUCUCCUGGUUUCAUAUUGUCUCAGAUGAGGACUCGGGGGUGCUCCCUCUAUUGAAGGUGGGACGACAAGUGGCUGUGAAGGCUCAGUCAUGGAGUCUUGCACAUGAACCACUCUCGGUGCUCUGGUGCGGGCUGAUGGAGAUGAGUUCUUGGCUCCUCUUGUUUUGGCCAUGGCCAAUGAUUCGUUCCCAAUUGGUGUCUCAGCUGAUUCAUGUUCAGCUAGUGCUCUUUGAUUGAGAGAGUAAUCAACAAAAUUUAUAACCUAUAUCACCAUGCAUUAGGAUAACUUAGCUAAUAUAGCAUAGUGGCUCUAGGAUCGUUCUCUGGGAAGGGUUUUCAACUCACAACUGAUACUAAUUCAAAGGUAAAUUGGUGCUUUUUCAUUUCAAGGUUAGCUUAAGAAAUAAAACAUAAACUUUGGUAAAAUGAGGUUUUGUUUCAAGCUAACUGAUUCACGCUUGACUUCCCAGCCGGAUCUUUUAAUCAAAAACAUUUAUAAAACCUAUGACCUUAUACUGGCGUAGCAAAGCUACUAUAGUAUAGCAGUUCUAGGGUCGAACUCAGGGAUGGGUUUUCACUCUACCAAUGAUAGACUCUAAAUUAGAAAUUGAUUCUGAUGAUUUCCUUUAGCACAAACUUGAAAUUUAAAAGAAAAUAAAAUUGUUUUGAAAGUGGUGAUUUAAACUAAACUCACAUAGAACUAAGUAAAAAGUGGAAGAAAGAAAGUCUCCCGGAGCUAAAGGUUGCUAGGUUCAAGUUCAGGAUGCAAAGUGGAAAAUUCCGGAUUUUUCUCCUCGCAUUGGGGAUUUAACCUAUAGUUAUUUCCCGAACCGGUAUAGGUUUGACAAUGAAGAUUUAAUCCAUAAAAAGUCAAUAGAGAUGGUAGUCAAGGUCCGUUAAUGGCUUAAGACUGUAUGGGCUAUCACCUUGAAUCACUUUCCAAUGGCUCGUACAUGAUAACUAAUGGAUUGAUAUGGAUCUAGCAAUAAGCAUCCACAGAGACCUUAAGCUUACCAUGUAUUGGCCAGUCAAAGUGAUCCUAAGGGAUUUAAGGCAAAACCUUGGCUUUAGAAGCCAUUUAUGGACUCCAACUACCUGAAUUUAAUGCACGGAAACUUUCCACCUUUUAAUCUGGACUUUUCACCUAGCUUCCUUUACUCCCAGAAACUAAAUAUUUAGCCUCUCAUCCUCUGGGAAAACAUCCUCAGAGGGUGUUUGGCUUGCAAGAAAAUAGAAAAUAGAAGAGAGAAAAAGAAAGUAAAAGAGAUCUCUGUAUUUCACUAAGUAACAAAUUUACAAAAGUUGGUCUCCUGGAGAAAGCUCCCCGACGAAGAUAUAUUUUCAGUGAUUACAAGAGAAUUUAUAUAGGAAGGUAGUUUUACCCUUCCUUGGAUACUUCCUAGCUAAGGAAUUACAUGGUUGGUUGAAUACAAGGAGAAAAUGGAAAUUUAAACACAAAAAUAUCAGAAGAAAAAAGAGUUGGCAAAAAUAUCCAAUUUUCGCACGCUGAGUUCCAAUUUCGCAUGUUGGUUUGAGGUGUGCAAAAUUUUCGCACAGUGGACUGAGGAUUUCGCACCUUAAACAGUGGUGUGCGAAAUUGUCCCUCAGCUUGAUGCAGUUGUCUUCCGAAGUCCAUAUCUUCCUCAUUUCAGCUCCAAAUCAUACGUGGUUUGAACCAUUGGAUUUUUGACUUUCUGAGCUUCGAAAUGGUAUAUAGAAUGUAAAGAAUGGACUUCGGGAAGUGCUCCAAAAGUGCACUAAAAGGCUGCAGCUGUGUCCCCUGUUUUCUUCUUCUCCAUUGUUUCUCCCUUGUAAACUUUGAACGAUUAAGGCAAAGGAUUAUGAGGCUCCAUAGCUUGAUUUCUUCAAAAAUCAAAGCUUCCAAAAGCUUUGCCAUGAACUAUAAAUAGCUCUCCCUCAUUCUUAAAUUGCUUUGGUGGGCAUAAAGCUAUCAAAAAGCACCAAAACUUAACACAAUUGUUAGAAAUCUGAUUGCAAGGGUCCCUAACAUGUUAAUCGAGUUAAAAGGUAAUAAUUACUACUCAAGAGUGUUUAAGAGAGCUAAUUACAAGCUACAAAAUAGCAUGUUUUGAGUAGUAAUCACUAACUAAAAAGAAAAUAAUAGAAAUUAUUUAUGAAGAAAAACAUUCCUUGGAGGUUUGGGUUCACAGGGGAGGUUUCUUAUGCAAAAACAGAGCUCCGGUCAUUUGGUUCAUUUCCUCGCAUUAGAGAAUUAACAUAUAGUCAAUUCUCUAACCGGUGUUGUACAGAUGUAACCUUUAAAUGGAUUUCAGCUCUAAUUCCCUCUCACUGAUGCAACUUGCAAUGGCUCGUGCCUCUUACCUAGCAUUUGCCAUUCAAGGUGAUCUUUAACCUUGGAUUUCCCUUCAUAAGCUCGCAAGAGAUAACUAAUGGAUGUCUCCUUAGAGUCCAAAAGCUUACCAAGUGUUGGCAAUUCUAGAAAAUCCUACCUCCAAGUCACUUCCCAAAAGCUCGCAAGAGAUAAACAAGUGCAUCUCCAUGGACGGAGAUCAUGUGCCUUACCAAGUGUUGGCUCAAGUGAAUUGAAGGUGUUUUAAGUUAACUAAAAACAUAGAAAUCAUUAAAGGAUCACACUUUCUUUUCAUUAAUGGCUGAAACCACAAAGCUAUAAAUUCUUGCAAUUGGAACCUUUCCCGGCAACCUUAGCUCCAAGGAACUAAAAGCCUAGCCACUCAUUCUCUGAGGAAACUUCCUCAGAGCUUGUUUGGCUAGUAAGAAAAAGAAUGAGAAAAUAAAAAUAUAUAUGAAAAACAGAGCAAGUGCUCUGUAAAAUAUAUUUCUUGCAAAAUUGUACAAAGGUUCCUUUUAGAACAAGCUCUCUAGAGAUCGUCCUUUGUAAAGAAAAUUACAACUAUAUAUAAGAGGUUAUUCACCCUUUGUUCUUACUUAAAGACUAAGGAAUCCUAUGAUAGGUGGAUUACAAGGAGAGUUUGGGGAUUUAGACAUCAAAUAUCUAAAGCAAAAUAUCUCAAAAUGUCGGUCGCACAUAUCGGGAAGCUUCAAGAGAACACCGCGGCACUGUGCAAAAAUCCGGGUAAUCUGAAAUGUCGGUCGCGAAUGCUCUCUGGGUAAGCGCAAUCAGAGGAUCCGGAUAUGUCUGAUCGGGGAAGUUGAAAUGCCUCUUCUCCCAUCUGGUGUCAGGUGCCGGAUGUGAAAUAUCCGAUCAGAGGAUCCGGACAUGUCUGACCGGACAGAAUUCCGGGAGUGAGAUAUCCGCGCGUUGCAAGGGGGACCAUCUGCGUGUACUAGGUGUAGGGACCCCUCCCCCUGAUGACAUGGAGCGCGCAUUGCUAUCCAGCGCAACUCCAUCCGGAUUCCCCAAGAGAAGCACACGGCACUCGUGAACAUCACACUUCGGAUGAUAGCAUAUCCAAUCCGGAUAUGUUUGUCCGGAUCAUUGACUAAAGUGAGCAAGCCUUGCUACAGCCCACGUUCCGCCGCUCUCCAAUGGUGUGUCCGAACGCCCUGUCUGGAUAUCUUUGCCAUGGAUUCCAAAGAACUCUCCUCAAUCUCGGAUUGCUUUGGUGAUCAAAAAGCUAUCAAAAUACCAAAACUUAACACAAUUUGAUUAGAAUUGAUUGCAAGGGUCCUUAAUAUGUUAAUUGGGUUAAAAGGUGAUAACUACUACUCAAAAGUGUUUAAAAGAGUUAAUUACUAGCUAUCAAAUAACAUUUUUUGAGUAGUAAUCACUCCCCCCAACCGACAUAUUGCUAGUCCCUUAGCAAUGAAGGAGAGACAAAAUAAAAAUAAACAGUACUAUAAUUUACAACAUCAUGCUGAUCAAAAAACAAUUUUCAGGUGGCAUGAUGAUCUAACUCUCACAUGGAACAUUAAAGAAAUAAAACUCAAACUUCAACAAGAGUUAUCAAAUAACUUGUCUAAUCACAAUUCUUAAAGAGAAGGCAUUAUGCAAAUUUAAGCUUUAAAAGAGUUUCCACUCCCAAAGGGUCAAACUUUACUCUUCCACAAAAAUCUAAGUGUUAUUUAUUAGUUUCCGAAUAUAGUAUGUUGAACUAAUCUCUCCCCUCAACCUAGUUCUUUUUCAAAGCUUAGCAAGCUGAUCAACCUCCAAUAGGCUAAGAACACACCUCUUUUUUCACAAUUUUUUCAUUGUAGGAGUACAAGGCUUAAAGGUAUUCUUUUCGAAAUUGUCCAUGUAACGAGGGUCCAUCAAUGACUCCCAACCAAUUAAGGUUUAGGGCAUCAAGCUUUAAGGAUCUUUCAACCACUAACUCCUCGGAUUUUACCCCGGACUUUUGAGAAUGAAUUUUAAUACCCAAGCACCUACAGUAUGUUAAACUCCACCUAUUCACCCUUGUAACGAGCAUUGAGGUCGGUGACUCCCAACCAAUGAAGGCUUAGGGCACCAGGUUUUAAAGAUUUUCACCAUAUACCCCUCAGACCUUGCUCGGGUUUCAAGGAAAGUAAACAUUUUUCUUUCUCUCUUUUUUCAAAGACUCAUUGGCCUUUUAUAAGGUGUCCCAACACUAUUAAAUGAGGUCAAAGGUACCAAGUCUAAAAUUUUCCUAAGUCAAGAGGGAAAUAGUUUUUCAUCUUAUAAUCGGAACCUAGUAUGCACAAUGUGUGGAUAGCUUAAAGUGGAAGAACCAAGGUUGAAUUCAAUAGAAGUUUCAACAAUUCAUCAACUUUAAUAAGCAUAAUACAAACUCUAAGUCAAGUGAAAAAACAAAAAUUCAAUUUCUCCCAUUUCAAUUUGAAAAUUUCUCCUUAAUAACCAUGGAGAGUAGAAUAAAGACUUUUUUUUUUUAUUUAAAUUUUUAAAAAUUAAGCAAAAAGCAACUAAAUUACCAAAAUAACUUAGCAUUAAGAACUAUACUUACUUCCUCAACUCUCCCCCCAACCACGCUGAACAUUGUCCUCAAUGUGACAAAAGCGAUUGAAAAAUAGGGAGGAAGUGGUACCUCCUGAGUGACGUGGAGUGAUGCUGUGGAAAUGAUGGCUCAGCUGCCUCUCCUGUAGGAGGCUCCUGAUGAGGCAUAGGCUAAUCAACAAAAGGAGGGGCCUGUGAUGGCUCUGAUGAUUUGGGAAUAGCAUGCUCAGGAGCUGAUAUAAUGCCGAGAUGAUGCUGGAUCUGCCUCAGGAUGGUAGUGUGCUGGGCCUGAGUGGCAAGAAUCUGCUCCUACUUUUAAUCAUUCGAAAAGAUUAAGUUAGUUACAAUUUACAUAAUUUCAAGACCCAAAAUUACAAUCAAAUAAUUUACAAAACUCAAAAAUUAACAUAUUUAACAAAAUUACGGACUUUGGUGAAACUAAGUCCAUCUAACCCUUCUCUGAUCAGGCUUUUUGUGGCUCAAGGAGGUUGAUUUCCUCAUUUUCUGGCUUGAACGACUCAAUGAAUGGCUUGAGGCGAUGACCAUUGACUCUAAAGGUGUAUAUGCCAUUGGAAUUUAGUAAUUCCACCUCUCCAUUGAGAUGUACGUGGUGAAUAAUGAAAGGACCUAUCUACCUUGACUUGAGCUUCCUGGAAAGAUAUGGAGCCUUGAGUCAUAGAGUAGGACUCUUUGUCCUUUCUGCAAUUCUUUGUUGGAGAUUAGUUGAUCAUGCCACUUCUUCAUCCUCUGUUUUGCAACUUUGGAAUUGAUGUAAGCAUCAUUUCUUAAUUCCUCCAUCUCAUUAAGGUCUAAGCACCUCUUUGCCCCAGCUCUGAUGAAGUCCAUGUUCAACCUCUUGAUUGCCCACCAAGCCUUAUAUUCAACUUCCACAGGGAGGUGGCAUGCUUUGCCAUAGACGAGACGAUAGGGGGACAUGCCAAGAAUAGUCUUAUAAGCUGUUUUAUAUGCCCAUAAUGAAUCAUGUAGCUUAAUAGACCAAUCUUUUCUGCUUGUAAUCACCACUUUCAUCAGUAUGUUCUUUAUUUCCCUGUUUGCUAGCUCCACUUGCUCAGAAGUUUGAGGAUGAUAAGGUGUAGCUACCUUAUGCUUCACUCCAUACUUGGCUAAUAGAGUUUCAAAAGGCUUGUUGCAAAAAUGAGUACCUCCAUCACUGAUUAUGGCCUUGGGCACCCCAAAUCUCGAGAAGAUGUUCUCCUUAAGAAGUUUGAGAACCACCCUGUGAUCAUUAUGUUUACAGGGGAUUGCCUCCACCCAUUUGGAAACAUAGUCCACUCCCACCAAUAUAUAAGAGUUUCCAAAAGACAUUGGGAAAGGUCCCAUGAAGUCAAUACCCCAAACAUAAAAAAGAUCAACUAUAAGGAUGGGGUUCAUGGGCAUUUGGUUUCUUUUUGUAAGCUUCCCGAGUCUUUGGCAUCUAUCACAACUCCUACACAUGAUGUGGGAAUCUUUGAAAAGCGAUGGCCAAGUAAACCCUGAUUGCAAGACCUUCAUGGCUAUUUUCUGAGACGCAAAGUGGCCUCCACAGGCAUUCUCAUGGCAAUGGCUGAGGAUCCCUUGUUGCUCUUCUUCAAGGACACACUUCCUUAUGAUCUGAUCUGCACAAUACUUGAAAAGAAUGGGCUCUUCCCAAUAAUAAGCAUGAAUCUUUGCAAAGAAGUGCUUCCUGUCUUGCGCUUUCCACUCACUUGGAACUUCACCAGUAACCAAAUAGUUAGCAAUAUGAGCAUACUAAGGAGCUUUCUCUAGCAACAUAAGUGAUUCCUCAGGGAAGUCAUCAUUAAUAGGUAAUACAUGGGAAUUAUGUGCUACAGCCAACCUUGAAAGGUGGUCAGCUACCACAUUCUCCACCCCUUUCUUGUCUCUGAUUUGGAGAUCAAACUCUUGUAACAAAAGAAUCCAUCUAAUCAACCUUGCUUUUGCAUCUUGCUUUGUCAAGAAAUACUUCAAGGCCGAAUGGUCAGUGAAAACAAUGAUGAAAGACCCUACCAAAUAAGCACGAAACUUGUCUAAAGCAAACACCACAACUAACAGUUCUUUCUCUGUAGUUGUGUAGUUUCUUUGAGCCUCGUUCAAUGUUUUGCUUGCAUAGUAGAUCACAUAGGGCUUCCCACCUUCUCUUUGGCCAAGUACAGCUCCUAUAGCAAAGUCACUGGCAUCACACAUUACUUCAAAGGGUAAUUGCUAGUUAGGAGCCCUUACUAUUAGAGCAGUUGUCAAAAAUUGCUUCAAUUGAUCAAAACUCUUUUGACAUCUCUCAUCCUAGAAAAACUUAGCAUCCUUAGCUAAAACUUCACAAAGAGGCCUUGAAAGCUUAGAGAAGUCUUGUAUAAAUCUCCUGUAGAACCCUGCAUGGCCAAGAAAUUGCCUUACUCCUUUUAUAGUGGUUGGGGAUGGCAAUUUGGCAAUAAGUUCCACCUUUGCUUUAUCAACUUCAAUGCCUUUCUCGGAGAUGAUAUGGCCAAGAACAAUUCCUUGAUGUACCAUAAAAUGACAUUUCUCCCAGUUGAGCACCAAGUCUUUUUCAAUGCAUCUUUUAAGAACUGCUUCCAAAUUUACUAAGCAUUCUUCAAAUGUACCUCCAUAUAUGGUGAUAUCAUCCAUGAAAACCUCCAUAAUUCGCUCCACCAUAUCACUGAAGAUACUAAGCAUACAUCUCUGGAAUGUUGCAGGUGCAUUGCAUAAACCAAAAGGCAUUCUUCUAUAGGCGUAUGUUCCAAACGGACAUGUGAAAGUGGUCUUCUCUUGAUCUUCAACAUCUAUUUCAAUUUGGAAAUACCCUGAGUACCCGUCCAAGAAACAAUAGAAAGGAUGGCCAGAGACUCUCUCCAGCACCUGAUCAAUAAAUGGGAGUGGAAAAUGAUCUUUCCUUGUCACAACAUUCAAUUUCCUGUAGUCAAUACACAUCCUCCAACCUGAAGUGAGGCGUGUAGCAAUUUCUUCUCCUUUUUCAUUCUGAAUCACAGUAAUCCCUGACUUCUUUGGUACCACUUAAGUAGGACUCACCCAAGGGCUGUCAGAUAUGGGAUAAAUAAUACCCGCUUGGAGUAGCUUCAGUACCUCAGUUCGCACCACUUCUUGUAAAUGAGGAUUCAAUCUUCUUUGAGGUUGACGAAUUGGUUUAGCUUCUUCCUCCAUAUAUAUGUGAUGUGUACAAACCAAAGGACUGAUUCCUUUCAAGUCAGAUAUUUGCCAUCCUAUUGCUUUCUUGCACCUCUUAAGAACUUCAAGUAGAGAAAUCUCCUGAUGACUGGUAAGAGAUGAAGAUAUAACAACAGGACAUUGGUUAUUGUCUUCCAGGUAUGUAUAUUUUAACUCCAUGGGCAGAGGUUUCAAAUUGAGAUUCGGGAAUUCUUCUGUUACAUCAUCUUGUCCCUCCUCUUUAUCGAAUAAAGGUAGGAUCUCUUGGUUCCUUGUCCAACCUUGUAGAGUAGCAAGCACAUCAGCGGGUUCAGACAACCCUUCUUCAAGAUCCUCAAGACUUUCAUUCAACUCGUCUUGCAUAUUCUGAUCACAAUGCUCCUCCACUAGAGUGUCAAUAAUGCAUACCUCUUUUGGACCUUCUUCUUCUUCCGGAGUAAUUAGUUUCUUUGACAUAUGAAAGAUAUUAAGCUCAAGUGUCAUGUUGCCAAAUGUGAGUUGCAUAAGUCCAUUCCUACAAUUUAUGAUUGCAUUUGAAGUAGCAAGAAAUGACCUUCCAAAGAUGAUAGGAACAUAAUUAGCUUCCUUAACUAAAGGAUCAAUAUCAAGAACAACAAAAUCUACUGGAUAGUAGAAAUUAUCAACUUGAACUAAAACAUCCUCAAUUAUCCCCCUUGGAAUUUUCACUGAUCUAUCAGCUAAAGAUAGAGUGAUUGAUGUUGGCUUUAAUUCACCAAGUCCCAAUUGCUUAUAAACAGAAUAUGGUAGCAAAUUCACACUUGCUCCCAAAUCUAACAAAGCUUUUUCCACUACAUUUCCUCCAAUCAUAACUGAAAUGGUAGGACAUCCCGGAUCUUUGUACUUCAAAAGAGAUUUGCAUUGUAUGAUGGCACUAACUUGUUCAGUCAAGAAGGCUUUCUUAUUCACAGUCAACCCUCGUUUGAUAGUACAGAGGUCCUUUAGGAACUUGGCAUAUGUUGGAACUUGCUUAAUCAUGUCCAGCAAUGGAAUGUUGACCUUCACUUGCCUCAAUACUUGAAGGAUUUCUGAUGCAUUUUUUAUCCCUUUUUUCCCAUGCAAAGCUUGAGGAAAAGGUGGAGAUGUGUGUUUCUUCAUCAAUUCUUCCUUAAUAAGCUCUUUCUCCAGAUUUGCAUUCACUGUUGAAUCACGGUCCUCCUUCCCUUCACUGAUAUCUUUCUUUUUUCCUUUCAUUUCCUCCCUCUUCUUUGUCUCUUCUUCUUCAUUCUCUUCAACAUAUAGCUUGGGUGCUGGCGACUCAACCUUUUUACCACUCCUUAGAGUGAUCAAGGCUUUAACAUCUCUCACCUGUGAAGAUUCUCCCUCAUGAGUUUCCACUUCGUGGAUACCCUUGGGGUUUUGGUGAGGUUGAGAAGGAAAUCUACCCUUCUGUUGCACUGUGUUCAAAUUAGUGAGCCUUGAGAUUGAGUAUUGGAGAUUAUCUAUCUUCUGAGAUAAGUCAUUUUGCAUCCCAUCCAUCCUUUUAUUCAAAGUAUUCUCUACACUGUCAAUUCUUUGACUUAGUUGAGAGUUGAUGGAUUUUUGGUCUUCAACAAAAUCUCCCAUAACCUUGCUAAGAUUCACUAUUACUUGUUCAAGACUUGAAGCUUGUUGGGAUGGUUGAGAUGGUUGAGCCAGCUGUUGGUACUGAGGUGCUAUUGGCUUCCAUGAAAAAUUUGGAUGAUUCCUCCAACUUGAGUUGUAAGUAUUGCCAUACGAAGCAUUGCUAUUGGGCUUGAACUGUCCAAUGACAUUUGCUUGCUCUCCAUACAUUUCUCUAGCAACUGGAAUUGUAGGGCACUCCUCCACCAAGUGUUCAUAAGAUUGACAAAUAGAACAUGGCUUUACUUGCACUGGUGUUUCAGCAACAGCUUGCACUUCAUGCAUCUUUUUCAGUUCUAGCUCCUCCACUCUUCUUGUCAUAGCUGCAAAUUUUGCUUUCAUAUCAACAUCUUUAUUCAAGGUGUACAUCCCAGCCUUAGCAUGAAGAGCAUUUGGUUGAGACUUCAUCUUUCCCACUUCUCCUCUAUGCGGUUCAUCCCAUCCCCUUGAGACAUCAGCUACAUAACUCAAGAAAUCCAUAGCUUCCUCAGGAUUCUUACUCAUGAAAUCCCCUCCACACAUUGUUUCGAGGAGUUGCUUCAUUGAGGAAGACAUCCCAUCAUAGAAAUAACUCACCAACAGGCAUGUAUCAAAGCCAUGGUGAGAACAAGCAUUAAUGGCUUCCAUGUAUCUUUCCCAACACUCAUAGAAUUUCUCAUUCUCUUUAGCUGAGAAGUUUGAAAUUUGCCUUUUCAAGCCAUUUGUUCUGAGUAGGAAAGAACUUCUUGAGUUGUAAAUCAGUCCAAGAAUGGAUACUCCUUGGCCUUAAAGAAUUAAGCCAAAUCUUGGCCUUAUCCUUUAAAGUAAAAGGAAAUAGUUUAAGCCUCAUCAGGUCGAUAGAAGCUCCUCCCUCUCGGAAUGUAUUGCAAACAUCUUCAAAUUCCUUGAUAUGGGCAUAGGGAUUCUCACUUUCCAUUCCAUGGAAAGUUGGUAGAAGUGGCACAAUAUGGGGUCUGAUCACUAGCUACUUUGUAGGGGGCACUAUACAUGAUGGUGCACUCAUACGAGGUGGAUGCAUGCGGUCCCUCAUUGAUCUGAAUUCAUUGGGAUUGUCCUGAUGACCAUGGUGACUAUGCUGAUCCUCAGGUGUAGUUUCCAUGAUGUUCAAACUCAAUUCCAACUCCUUGUUAUGAGGUGUUUCAAGUUUAACAAGCCUUCCUCCACUAUCUCGUAUCCACUUUGGCAUACACAACUAGUAUCAACUGUAAAUAAAAAAAAAAGAAAAAACAAAAACAAAGCUACCAAAAAGAGUUCGAUUAACUAAAACUAAAUUAAAAGCUAUGCUAGACUAUAAACGAGUAAAACAAAAAAAACUAAAAGAGUUAGUAAAAUGACAGAAAACUCACCAAAUUUGUGAUGAAAACCACAAGUACACUGAAAUAAUAUCACUAUGAAGUUGGCACCUUCCCCGGCAAUGGCGCCAUUUGAUUCGUUCCCAAUUGGUGUCUCAGCUGAUUCAUGUCCAGCUGGUGCUCUUUGAUUGAGAGAGUAAUCAACAAAAUUUAUAACCUAUAUCACCAUGCAUUAGGAUAGCUUAGCUAAUAUAGCAUAGUGGCUCUAGGAUCGUUCUAUGGGAAGGGUUUUCAACUCACAACUGAUACUAAUUCAAAGGUAAAUUGGUGCUUUUAUUAUUACUACCCAAAAAGUGCUAUUUUGCGCUUUUAAUUCAUUAUGUUUUAAGCACUUUUGUGUAGUAGUUCUCCAUUUUUAUUCCAAUUGGCAUGUUAAGGACCUAGCAAUGACUUCUAAUCAUAUUUGUGGCUAGUUUUAGUGUUUUGACAGCUUUUUGGAUCAUUAAGACAAGCCAAGUAAAGGAGAGAAGCAAAGAGGAAAACAAAGUGAAGAAAAUAGAGGACAGCAGCUUCAGUCUUCCUUUGCACUUUUGGAGCACUUUCCGAAGUCCAUUUUCUACAUGCUAUAUACCAUUUCAAAGCUUUGGAAGUCAAGAAUCCAACGCUUCAAAUCUUGUACGAUUUGGGGCUGAAAUGAGGAAGAUAUGGCCUUCGGAAGACAACUGCAUCAAGCAAGUGCGAAUUUCGCACAGCAGCUCGAGCAAGUGCGAAUUUCGCACAGCAGCCCAAGCAAGUGCGAAUUUCGCACACCAGCCAUGCAAGUGCGAAUUUUGCACCAGCUCAUGUGUCUUUGGUGUGAAAUCUCCUCUGUUCUGCCGACUCCACAUGAGAUCUUUUCUUUUGUAUUUUUUUGAUGAAAAUUCCUUUCUUAUCCCUGUAAUUAGCCAAUCACAGGCUUUGCUUUUGUAAAGACUAUAAGAGGGGUGGAAAUCAUCUCUCGAGACACGAACAUAUGUUAUGUUUUACACUUAGUAAAAUACAGGGCUCUCUUUGCUUUCCUUUUCUUUCUACUAUUUUCUUUUUCUUGGAAGCCAAAUAACCUCUGAGGAUGUUUUCCCAGAGGAUGAGAGGCUAAACUUUUGGUUUCUUAGAUUGAAGGAAGCUAGGUGAAAGGUCCAGAUGCUAAAGUGGAAAACUCUCGUGCAUUAAAUACAGGUAGUUGGAGUUCAUAAAUGGCUUUUAAAUCUAAAGUUUUGUUUUAAAUCCUUUAGAAUCACUUUGAAUGGCCAAUACAUGUUAAGCUUUAGGUCUCUGUGGAUACUUAUUGCUAGAUCCACAUCAGACCAUUAGUUAUCAUGUACGAGCCAUUGGAAAGUGACUCAAGGUGAAGACCCAUAGUGUCUAAAGCCAUUAAUGGAACUUGACUACCAUUUCUAUUGACUUUUUAUGGAUUAAAUCUUCAUUGUUAAACCUAUACCGGUUUGGGAAACAACCAUCCUUUAUGUUGUUGUCCCCAAUACGAGGAGAAAAAUUCGGAAUUUCCUACUUUGCAUUCUGAACUUGAUCCUCGCAACCUUUAGCUCCGGGAGACUUUCUUUUUUCCAUUUUUACCUAGUUCUAUAUUAGUUUAGUUUCAAACACCACUUUCAAAACAAAUUUUAUUUUCUUUUAAACUUUAAGUUUUUGACAAAGGAAAUCAUCAGAUUCAAUUUCUAAUCUUGAGUAUAUCACUGGUAGAAUGAAAACCCAUCCCAGAGUUUGACCCUAGAGCUGCUAUACUAUAGUAGCUUUGCUACGCUAGUAUGAGGUCAUAGGAUUUAUAUAUAUUUUUUAUUAAAACACCCGACUGGGCAUGAAUCAAAAUGGCGCCGUUACCGGGGAUGGUGCCACGAUACAGUGAUACAACUUUUUAGAGGCUACUUGUGAUUUCCAUCACAAGUUUGGUGAAUUCCUUUUUCACUAACUUCAUUUCCCUUCUUUUAAUUGUAGAAUUCCUUUUGUUAAGUUUAUUUUCAUUUUCUUUCUAACCUUAACUUUCUUCUAGCUUUCUUUUGUUUUUGUUGUCUUUGUUUUGUUUUCAGGUAAGUAGUAACUUGAGCAUGCCCUAUUGGAUUCGGGACCAAGAGGGAAGACUAGUAAGGAUAGAGAAUCCUCAAGACAAAGAGUUGGAUAUCUGUGUAAACAUCAUGGACCCUCCACAAGAGGAUCAGAAUUCUCAACAUGAUCAAGGGGGUAAUCCAAAUGCAUAUCUAUCCAUGAGGGAUAGGAUGCACCCACCAAGGAUGUGUGCACCCUCAUGCAUCGUACCUCCUCUUGAGCAGCUCAUUAUAAGGCCCCAUAUAGUGCCCCUCCUACCAAAUUUCCAUGGAAUGGAGAGUGAGAACCCAUAUGCCCACAUCAAGGAGUUUGAGGAGGUGUGCAAUACUUUUAGAGAGGGAGGAGCUUCAAUAGACUUGAUGAGACUCAAGCUAUUCCCUUUUACUUUGAAGGACAAGGCAAAAAUAUGGCUUAACUCCUUAAGGCCAAGGAGCAUAAGGAAUUAGGUUGAUCUUCAGGCCGAAUUUUUGAAGAAAUUUUUCCCCACCCAUAGGACCAAUGGGUUGAAGAGACAAAUCUCAAACUUUUCUGCGAAAGAAAAUGAGAAGUUCUAUGAAUGUUGGGAAAGGUAUAUGGAGGCCAUCAAUGCUUGUCCUCAUCAUGGCUUUGAUACAUGGCUCUUGGUGAGCUAUUUUUAUGAUGGGAUGUCUUCCUCCAUGAAGCAAAUUCUUGAAACCAUGUGUGGGGGAGAUUUUAUGAGUAAGAAUCCAGAAGAAGCCAUGGACUUUUUAAGUUAUGUAUCUGAGGUAUCAAGAGGAUGGGAUGAGCCCAACUCAAGGGAAAUGGGAAGGACAAAAGCUCCUGUAAAUCCAAAGGGUGGAAUGUACAUGUUAAGUGAAGACAUGGACAUGAAAGCUAAGGUGGCAACAAUGGCAAGGAGGUUGGAAGAACUUGAGUUGAAAAAAAUGCAUGAACUCCAAGCCAUUUCCGAGACACAAGCCCAUGUCAUGCCAUGCACCAUUUGCCAAUCAUGUGAUCAUGUGGUAGAUGAGUGCCCAACCAUCCCAGCUAUGAGGGAGACGUUAGGUGAUCAAGCCAAUGUUGUGGGGCAAUUUAGGCCUAACAACAAUGCACCUUAUGGAAACACCUAUAAUUCAAGUUAGAGAAAUCAUCCAAAUUUUUCUUGGAAACCAAGGCCACCUCUAUACCAACCACAAGCCCAAACCCAAGCACCUCAACAAACCUCUUCAGUGGAACAAGCCAUUGUGAACCUAAGUAAAGUCAUGGGUGACUUUGUGGGUGAACAAAAGGCAAUCAACUCCCAAUUGCACCAAAAGAUUGAAAAUAUUGAGAGUUCUCAAAUUAAGAGAAUGGAUGGGAUGCAAAAUGAUCUAUCUCAGAAGAUAGAUAAUAUUUAAUACUCCAUCUCUAGGCUUACCAACCUCAACACAGUGAAUGAGAAAGGAAAGUUUCCCUCUCAACCAAGCCAAAAUCCGAAGGGUGUUCAUGAAGUUGAAACCCAAGAUGGGGAGUCUUCAAAGUUGAGGGAGGUCAAAGCUGUGAUCACCUUAAAGUGUGGGAAGGAGGUUGAUCAACCCUUGCCUAAGGUGAAGCAAGAUGAAAAACUCAUGUCAAAGAGAACCUUGGUUAAAGAGAGCAAUAACCAAGAAGAGAGGAGUGGGAAGAAAAAUGCAUCCAAAUCAAGCAUUGAAGAAGAGCCAAGGAUAGUGAUUAAAGAGGAUAUGAUGAAGAAACAUAUGCCUCCCCCUUUUCCUCAAGCUUUACAUGGAAAGAAGGGAAUCAAGAAUUCAUCAUAAAUUCUUGAAGUUUUGAGACAAGUGAAGGUGAAUAUACCCUUACUUGAUAUGAUCAAGCAAGUCCCCACAUAUGUAAAAUUUUUAAAGGACUUGUGCACGGUCAAGAGAGGGUUACAUGUGACAAAGAAGGCAUUCCUCACUGAGCAAGUAAGUGCCAUCAUUCACAGUAAGUCUCCAGUUAAGUACAAAGAUCCGGGAUGUCCCACCAUUUCAGUCAACAUUGGAGGGACACAUGUGGAGAAGACUUUACUAGACUUGGGGGCAAGUGUGAAUUUGCUCCCAUACUCUGUGUAUAAGCAACUGGGACUUGGAGGAUUGAAGCCCACAACCAUCACUCUCUCCUUAGCUGAUAGGUCAGUCAAAAUCCCAAGGGGGGUGAUAGAGGAUGUUCUAGUUCAAGUGGACAAAUUCUACUAUCCUGUGGAUUUUGUUGUGCUUGAUACUGAUCCCACUAUUAAGGAAGCAAAUUAUGUGCCAAUCAUCCUUGGGAGACCUUUCCUAGCUACCUCCAAUGCCAUCAUCAAUUGUAGGAAUGGGGUGAUGCAGCUCACAUUUGGAAACAUGACCUUGGAAUUAAACAUAUUCCACCUAUGCAAGAGGCAUCUUCACCCAGAAGAGGAGGAAGGAUUGGAGGAAGUGUGCUUGAUCAACACUUUGGUUGAAGAGCAUUGUGACAAGAAUUUAGAAGAGAGCCUGAAUGAAAGCCUUGAAGUGCUUGAAGAAGGGUUACCUGAACCCUCUGAUGUGCUAGCCAUCAUGUCUCCUUGGAGGAGACGGGAAGAGAUCUUACCACUGUUCAAUAAGGAGGACUCACAAGGAGCAGCUACGGAGGACCCUCCAAAGCUUGUUUUGAAGCCACUUCCUGUUGAUUUGAAGUAUGCAUAUUUGGAGGAAGAUGAGAAAUGUCCAGUGGUGAUUUAUUCAACUCUCACAAGUGAUCAAGAGGAUAGUCUUUUGGGAGUCCUCAGAAAAUGCAAGAAAGCCAUUGGAUGGCAAAUUUCUGAUCUGAAAGGGAUUAGCCCUUUGGUGUGCACCCACCAUAUCUACAUGGAGGAAGAUGCAAAACCAGUGAGGCAGCCCCAGAGGAGGUUGAAUCCUCACAUACAAGAAGUGGUAAGGGGUGAAGUUCUGAAGCUACUUCAAGCAGGGAUCACAUUUCCCAUUUCAGAUAGCUUGUGGGUGAGCCCAACCCAAGUAGUCCCAAAGAAAUCUGGAAUUACUGUGAUCCAAAAUGAGAAAGGGGAGGAAGUCUUUACACGUCCUACCUCAGGAUGGAGGGUGUGUAUAGACUACAGGAGGUUGAAUUCAGUGACUAAGAAGGACCAUUUCCCAUUGCCUUUCAUGGACCAAGUCCUUGAGAGAGUCUCAGGGCAUCCUUUCUACUGUUUUUUGGAUGGUUACUCGAGGUACUUCCAAAUAGAGAUUGAUUUGGAAGAUCAAGAAAAGACAACCUUCACUUGCCCCUUUGGUACUUUUACCUAUAGGAGGAUGCCCUUUGGUCUAUGUAAUGCACUUGCAACUUUCCGAAGAUGUAUGCUAAGCAUCUUUAGUGAUAUGGUGGAGCGCAUCAUGGAUGUCUUCAUGGAUGACAUUACUGUGUAUGGAGGUUCUUAUCAGGAGUGUUUGUUGCAUUUAGAAGUUGUUCUCCAAAGAUGUAUUGAGAAAGACCUAGUGCUAAAUUGGGAGAAGUGCCAUUUUAUGGUACAACAAGGAAUUGUCUUAGGACAUAUAAUCUCCAAGAAUGGCAUUGAGUUAGAUAAGGCAAAUGUGGAGCUAAUUGUUAAGUUACCACCUCCCACAAAUGUUAAAGGAAUUAGGCAAUUCCUAGGACAUGCCGGGUUCUAUAGGAGGUUCAUUAAGGAUUUCUCAAAAAUCUCAAAACCUCUUUGUGAACUCUUGGUAAAGGAUGCCAAGUUUGUGUGGGAUGAGAAAUGUCAGAAGAGUUUUGAGGAACUAAAGCAAUUCCUCACAAUUGCACCAAUAGUGAGAGCCCCAAAUUGGAAUUACCUUCUGAGGUAAUGUGUGAUGCAAGUGAUCUUGCUAUGGGGGCUGUUUUGGGGCAAAGAGAAAAUGGAAAGCCCUAUGUGAUUUAUUAUGCAAGCAAAACUUUGAAUGAGGCUCAAAGGAACUACACAACUACUGAGAAAGAGUUGUUGGCAGUAGUUUUUGCCUUGGAUAAGUUUCGUGCCUAUUUGGUAGGGUCCUCUAUAGUGGUGUUCACUGACCAUUCCGCUUUGAAGUACUUGCUAACCAAGUAAGAUGCCAAGGCAAGAUUGAUAAGAUGGAUCUUUUUGCUUCAAGAAUUCAAUCUCCAAAUCCGGGAUAAAAAGGGAGUAGAAAAUGUGGUAGCUGACCACUUGUCAAGACUUGUGAUAGCACAUGACUCACAUGGUCUACCUAUCAAUGAUGACUUCCCUGAGGAGUCUCUCAUGUCAAUAGAGGUAGCUCCAUGGUAUUCUCACAUUGCAAAUUACUUGGUUACUGGAGAAGUUUCAAGUGAGUGGAGUGCCCAAGACAAGAGGCAUUUCUUUGCUAAGAUCCAUGCCUAUUAUUGGGAGGAGCCUUUUCUCUUCAAAUAUUGUGCGAUCAAAUCAUAAGGAAAUGUGUUCCUGAACAAGAGCAAUCAGGAAUUCUAUCCCAUUGUUAUGAUAGUGCAUGUGGAGGUCAUUUUGCUUCCUAGAAAACAACUAUGAAAGUGAUCCAAUCAGGUUUUUGGUGGCCCUCUCUUUUCAAGGACGCCCACACUAUGUGCAAGGGAUGUGAUUGGUGUCAAAGGCUUGGGAAGCUAACACGCCGAAAUAUGAUGCCCUUGAACCCCAUUUUGAUAGUGGAUGUCUUUGAUGUUUGGGGGAUAGACUUCAUGGGACCAUUUUCAAUGUAGUUUGGACACUCCUACAUUUUGGUGGGAGUGGAUUAUGUCUCUAAGUGGGUAGAAGCAAUCCCAUGUAGGAGCAAUGAUCAUAAGGUGGUUCUUAAAUUCCUCAAGGAGAACAUCUUUUCAAGAUUUGGAGUGCCUAAGGCCAUUAUCAGUGAUGGAGGAACCCACUUUUGCAAUAAGCCUUUUGAGACUCUUCUAGCCAAUGGGGUCAAGCACAAGGUAGCUACACCUUUUCACCCUAAAAAAAGUGGCCAAGUUGAGUUAGCCAACCGGGAAAUCAAGAAUAUACUGAUGAAGGUGGUAAAUGUGAAUAGAAAGGAUUGGUCUAUUAAGCUCCUGGAUUCAUUAUGGGCUUAUAGGACCGCUUACAAGACCAUUAUUGGAAUGUCUCCUUAUCGCCUUGUUUAUGGCAAAGCGUGCCAUCUUCCAAUAGAGGUCGAAUAUAAAGCAUGGUGGGCAAUCAAGAAGCUCAACAUGGAUUUGACAAGAGCCGAGUUGAAGAGAUGUUUGGAUUUGAACGAAUUGGAGGAAAUGAGGAAUGAUGCUUACCUCAAUUCAAAAAUUGCAAAAGAGAGGUUGAAGAAAUGGCAUGAUCAGUUUGUAAAUCAGAAGAAUUUUGCCAAGGGGCAAAGAGUCUUGCUUUAUGACUUUAAGCUUCAUCUUUUUCCGGGAAAAUUGAAAUCAAGGUGGACGGGUCCUUUCAUAAUUCAUGACGUGCAAUCAAAUGGAGUAGUGGAACUACUCAACUUCAAUAGCACUCGAACUUUCAAAGUGAAUGGGCAUCGUCUCAAGCCCUAUAUGGAGUCAUUUUCCCGAGACAAGGAGGAAUUCAUCCUCCUUGAUCCACCUCUAACAUGAAAACACUCAGUUCAUGGUUGAACUUAGUCUCUUCAAAGACUAAAAAGUUCAUCCUCUUUUUGUUCCUUUUUCUUUUGUAUAUGCAUGUUUUGAUUUUUAUUUUUGCCCUUAAGUUCAUUCUAAUGUGGUUUAAAUUGGUUUUUGUGUUAACAUGUAGGUAGGAAAGCUUGAAGAAUGAAAACAAGGGAAAAUAGGGGAGAAUAGCCAAGACACAGCAAAAUUCGCACCACCCAAUCCUCUGGUGCGAAAUUCGCACAACACAUCCCCCUUGUGCGAAUUCGCUUUUAUGACCAAUUUUCAAAAGCAUGUUCUCGGUCCCUACCCAAAAUCUCAGUGCGAAAAGGCACAGGAAUGCAAACCUUGUGCGAAGUUGCCUUUAUGACUAUUUAAAAAAAAAAAAAGCAUGCUCUCUGUCUUGGAGAACCACAGGAAUGCGAAAAUUUCGUACUUCACUAUUCCUUGUGCAAAAUUCGCAUUUCUCUUUAAAAGCCAUUUUCUCUUCUUCAAUUCUAAGCUUGUUCUUCUUCAAUUCUCUCAACACCUCUCUUCCGAUCACCCCUUUCCAUCCACAAGGUCCUCUCCUUCAUCAUCCCCCAUCCUCAACCCCACCAUGGCAGCCCAUCUCAAGAGCUUCAUUCCAUAGCCGCGACCAACACUAUUCACAACAGUCCGCACCUUCCAUUUUCAACUUUUUCUCCUCCUUCCACCAUCAAAAACCCUUCAUUUAUUCACUUAACACUCCAAAUUCAUCCCUAAACCCAACCCAACCUUGAUUUUUCAAAAUCAAAACCUCAAGCAUAGAUUUCAAAGCCACGGUUUCUUCAUAAGAAACCCAUUGCCGCCGGCUAUGGGAGCUUCAAAAUCUCUCAUUCUCUUCUUGUAAAGCUCCCAUUUCCAAGCUUAGCCACCAUGAAAAACUCCUUUCCUACCUCAGCCAGCAUUUCCCACCCUCAAAAACCAAGAAUUGUUGCCAUUUGAAACCACCACAAUUUCGCAAUUGCACGGGUGAAUAGUGCAUUGUGCGAAAUUCGCACAACACAUUUCCCUUGUGCGAAAUUUGCACCACCCUUCCCUUGUGUAAAAUUUUGAGGUUCUUCAUCCCCACCCUCCUUAAAUCCCAAGCCUCUGAGCCUCAUUUCUUUGCUCUAUUAUGCCUAAGACCCGAGGAGGCUAUGCCUCAGCUCCCUAGAGCAAUCAGAGAGCUGCCCCUAUGUGGGCCCCAAUAGAUGCACCCCCACAUUUACCUGAUUCUGUCCCUCAACGCAGAUACCAUACGAGGAGAGCAACUGCCACGCCUGUGGCCCCUACUCAUAUUCCACCUAGGAGUCCUCCUAUAAAGAAGGCCAAGACUUCAGAGCUAGGAGAGUCCUCCAGAGCACCUCGAGAUUCACAGUCUCAGCCUCCUCCCACCAGGCGCCCUAUCCUCGCCAGCUCGCCCAUUGAGGGCAACUCCGAUUGCUGAUCGAGAGCAUUCCAUGUCGAGGCAUAUUUUGAUCACUCUAUUUUGCGACAGCAGCCUGAGUUGGGGGAUUCAUACCGCCUACUUGAGAGGUACCAUCUUGUACCCUUUAUGACUCCGCCACAGUUCUUUUAUCCUCGAGUAGCUUUAGACUUUUACCAGUCUAUGACUACUCGUGGCGUCCCGGUACCAGCCUCGAUCCUUUUUACCAUUGAUGGACGCUAGGGUAUUUUGGUGGCUAGACAGAUUGCCGAGGCUUUCCAUAUCCCUUAUGCACCAGCAGAUCCCGCUGCAUUUAGACGUUGGGCCCCACUUUCUGAGUGGGACAUGGUUCGUAUACUAUCUCGAGGGACAUCUUCAGAGAGGAUCAUUAUGAGGAAGGAGCUUCCCCCUGGGAUGCUCCUAGUUGAUGUGGUGUUUCGCAACAAUCUUUUUCCUCUUCAGCAUAGAGUGUAGAGGCGAGGGGCCAUUCUAGAGGCGUUAUUCCGUAUCUCUGAGGGCUACUACUUUGGCCCCCAUCAUUUGAUUAUGGCCGCCCUCCUCCAUUUUGAGGAGAAGGUGCAUAAGCGGCGUCUUACGAGGGCAGACACCAUUCUUUUACUUUUCCCUCGGCUGCUAUGCCAUGUUCUGGCGCAUAUGGGUUCCCUGCAGACCCUCAUUCUUAGCCCCGCCGCCAUUGUCCAGAGAGCUUCUCUCUUGACCAAUGGAAUCAGGUAUGGCUCCAUCAGCAUUCCCCAGAACUUCUUGAGCCAAGGGAAGUCCCUCCACAACCUUUACCAUCUAUAUCUGCUCCGUCUACUUCAGUUCCCUCAGAGCCCGUACCAGAGGCAGCAUCGUCUGACACCCCACCUGCUGUUCCUCCUACCUCAGAGCCACCUAUUACUAUCCUUGGUUCAGAGUAUCGUGACUUGCUCGCUUCUUUCUAGACUCUGACCACUACUUAGACGACUAUUAUGGAGCGGAUGGACCACUUCCAGCUUCGGUAGGACCAGCAGACUCUCAUUCUCCGUGAGAUUUAGCAGCACCUCGUUUUUUGCCACCAGCUCCACCUGUUGCUCCUGCGCCCUCAGAGCCUUCUGCUCCAGCUGAUGAUUUUGCUCCAGCUGAUGAUGCUACACCUGUAGCGGUACCUUCCACAGUUGCAGCGGAGGACCCCUCCUAUCCAUCAGAAGAGCCUACUACUUGAUCAUACGAUCACUCCUCUUCUUUUUUUGUUUUUAUUUUGUAUCUAUAUUCUAUGUUUUUGGAUGUCAUAUAUAUUUUGGAUGUGAUAUACUGACAUUGGAUGUAUUCCAUGUUUAUCUUGUAUAUUGUACUCUCUCAGUUUAUAUAGACAUCUUCCUUUUUUGUGUAUUUUAGCUAUUCCUUUUUAUUUCCUCUACUCAUCACUCUUAUCAUUUCUUUUUCUUUUGCAACAUGUGGUUUCUCCUGUUCAUUCAGAGUCCCUUACUAUCAGGAAGUAUCACUUCCUCCCUUUUAUUAUCACUUGCUUUUAGAACAUUGGGGACAAUGUUCAUCCUAGUUGGGGAGAGAGUUGAGGAAGUAAUUUGUUGAAUUUUUGGUUAAGUUAUUUUGCUAACAAUUUUUUUGCAAACUCUCUUUGUUUUCUCAAAGAUAAAUUCUCAAAAGUAAAUGGGAGAAAUUAAAUUCUUAUUGCCAUAGUCUCAGAGUUUGUAUUAUGCUUAUUAAAGUUGAUAAAUUGUUGAAGCUCCUUUUGAUUUCAAUCUUAAGUCUUCCACUCUAAUCUUUUCACACACUGAACACAUUAGAUUCCAGUUAUAAGAUGGAAAACUUUCUCACCCCCCUAAACUUAGGAAAUUUUUGACUUGGUGCCUUUGACCUCAUUCUAUUAGUGUUGGGACACCUUAUAAAAGGCCAAUGUGUCUUAUGAAAAAUUUGCUUCAAUUUCUUUGAAACCCGAGCAAGGUCCGAGGGGUAUAUGGUGAAAAUCUUUGAAGCUUGGUGCCCUAAGCCUUUAUUGGUUGGGAGUCACCGACCUCACUGCUCAUUACAUGGGUGGAUGGGUGGAGAGUAAAAAAAAAAAAAAAAAAAAAGAAGGGUGCGUUCUUAGCCUUUUAUAUGGGGGUUAGAGUUGCUAAAGUUAGAGAAAAACCUUAGUUGGGGGGAGAAUGUAGUUUGACAUACUAUAACUGGAAACUAAGCACCUUAACACUUAGAUUUUUAUGGAAAAUUAAGAGUUGGUCCUUUGGGAGUGGAAAUUAUUUUGAUACUCAAAUUUGCAUAAUGCCCACUCUUUAUAUGUUGUGAUAGGUAAGUUAUUUGAUGACUCUUGUUGAUGAUUGAGUUUUAUAUCCUUGACUUGCCAUGUGAGAGUUUGAUCCAAUCAUGCCACUUGAUUAUUUUUUGGAGUGAUCAACAUGAUUUUGUAAAUUAUUAUAUUAUCUAUUUUUCUUUAUUUUUCUCUCCUUCAUUGCUCAGGGACUAGCAAUAUGUCAGUUGGGGGGAGUGAUUACUACCCAAAAAGUGCUAUUUUGCGUUUUUAAUUCAUUAUGUUUUAAGCACUUUUGUGUAGUAGUUCUCCAUUUUUAUUCCAAUUGGCAUGUUAAGGACCUAGCAAUACUUCUAAUCAUAUUUGUGGCUAGUUUUAGUGUUUUGACAGCUUUUUGGAUCAUUAAGACAAGCCAAGUAAAGGAGAGAAGCAAAGAGGAAAACAAAGUGAAGAAAAUAGAGGACAGCAGCUGCAGUCUUCCUUCACACUCUUGGAGCACUUUCCGAAGUCUAUUUUCUAUAUGAUAUAUACCAUUUCAAAGCUCAGGAAGUCAAGAAUCCAACGCUUCAAAUCGUGUACGAUUUGGAGCUGAAAUGAGGAAGAUAUGGCCUUCGGAAGACAACUGCAUCAAGCAAGUGCGAAUUUCGCACAGUAGCUCAAGCAAGUGCGAAUUUCGCACAGUAGCUCAAGCAAGUGCGAAUUUCGCACAACAGCCCAAGCAAGUGCGAAUUUCGCACACCAGCCAUGCAAGUGCGAAUUUCGCACUAGCUCAUGCAUCUUUGGUGCAAAAUCUCCUCUGUUCUGCCGACUCCACAUGAGAUCUUUUCUUUUAUAUUUUUUUGAUGAAAAUUCCUUUCUUAUCCCUGUAAUUAGCCAAUCACAGGCUUUGAUCUUGUAAAGACUAUAAGAGGGGUGGAAAUCAUCUCUCGAGACACGAACAUAUGUUAUGUUUUACACUUAGUAAAAUACAGGGCUCUCUUUGCUUUCCUUUUCUCUCUACUAUUUUCUUUUUCUUGGAAGCCAAACAACCUCUAAGGAUGUUUUCCCAGAGGAUGAGAGGCUAAACUUUUGGUUUCUUGGAGUGAAGAAAUCUAGGUGAAAAGUCCAGAUGCUAAAGUGGAAAACUCUCGUGCAUUAAAUACAGGUAGUUGGAGUUCAUAAAUGGCUUUUAAAUCUAAAGUUUUGCUUUAAAUCCCUUAGAAUCACUUUGAAUGGCCAAUACAUGUUAAGCUUUAGGUCUCUGUGGGUACUUAUUGCUAGAUCCACAUCAGACCAUUAGUUAUCAUGUAUGAGCCAUUGGAAAGUGACUCAAGGUGAAGACCCAUAGUGUCUAAAGCCAUUAAUGGAACUUGACUACCAUUUCUAUUGACUUUUUAUGGAUUAAAUCUUCAUUGUUAAACCUAUACCGGUUUGGGAAACAACCAUCCUUUAUGUUGUUGUCCCCAAUACGAGGAGAAAAAUCUGGAAUUUCCCACUGAUUACUACCUAAAAAGUGAUAUUUUGCACCUUUAAUUCAUUAUGUUUUAAGCACUUUUAUGUAGUAGUUCUCCAUCUUUAUUCCAAUUGGCAUGUUAAGGACCUAGCAAUGACUUCUAAUCAUAUUUGUGGCUAGUUUUAGUAUGUUGACAGCUUUUUGGAUCAUUAAGACAAGCCAAGUAAAGGAGUAAAGCAAAGAGGAAAAACAAGCCAAGUGAAGAAAACAGAGGACAGCAGCUACAGUCUUCCUUCUCACUUUUGGAGCACUUUCCGAAGUCUAGUUUCUACAUGCUAUAUACCAUUUCAAAGCUCAGGAAGUCAAAAAUCCAAUGCUUCAAACCGUGUAUGAUUUGGAGCUGAAAUGAGGAAGAUAUGGCCUUCGAAAGACAACUACUCCAGGCUUGUGCGAAAUUCGCACAACACCUUCCAAAUUCGUACCAGCCCAUGCGUGGUGCGAAUUCUCCUCUGUUUUUGCCGACUCCACUUUAGAUCUUUUCUUAUGUAUUUUUUGAUGUAAUUUCCUUUCUUAUCCUUGUAACUAACCAAUCACAAGCUUUGCUUUUGUAAAGACUAUAAGAGGGGUGGAAAUCAUCUCUCGAACGUGUGUUACAUUUUACACUUAGUGAAAUACAGAGCUCUCUCGUUUUCCUUUUCUCUCUACUAUUUUCUUUUUCUUGGAAGCCAAACAACCUCUGAGGAUGUUUUCCCAGAGGAACUUUUAGUUUCUUUGAGUGAAGGAAGCUAGGUGAAAAGUCCAGAUUCUAAAGUGGAAAACUAUCGUGCGUUAAAUACAGGUAGUUGGAGUUCAUAAAUGGCUUUUAAAUCUAAAGUUUUGCUUUAAAUCCCUUAAAAUCAUUUUGAAUGGCCAAUACAUGGUAAGCUUUAGGUCUCUGUGGAUGCUUAUUGUUAGAUCCAUAUCAGUCCAUUAGUUAUCAUGUACGAGCCAUUGGAAAGUG